GUUCAUUCAUCGCCUAUUCACAACAAUACAAGGUUCUACAGAGUUCAAUCCCACACCAUGUUAUAGACAUGCUUCAACUAUCAACCGGAACGUAAUCGUUAGGGUUCAACAACUUCCAGAUACAAAAUUACUAUAAGUCUCAUCUCCGACAUUCAUACAGAAAAUCGAAUAAAAUUCGAAAUCAAGAAUCAAUCCAAAAUGAAAGUUGAAAAUUUGGAAAAAGAACUUACAUUGGAGAACAGCCCACGAGAAGAGUAUCAUUUCUACCUCUUGGGUCGAGGUCCAAUUCCGGCGAUAUUGGCCGGAAACCCCUGGGUCACCGUUUCUUAGACUUGAAGUUGAGGAAAAUCGCCUACGAAUUUAUAGAAACUAACUUGGGGGAUAGGAUAAGGGUCGGCAAGAGCAUUCUGGAUGUGUAGUUUGAGAGCCUUUGGUGACCAGUGGACGACAGAGCUGUUGCGUCGGCACUCGGCAGUCUUCGGCUUGCUGUUGAAUGGGGCUCCUGUUGCAGCGCAGCGCAAAAGAGAAGGAGGAGAGAGGAUACGGGAGGAGGAGAGAAAAUGGGUUUCUCCCACCUUUUACAUUAAUUCUUUUCCACAUUUUUUUAUGGAAUAAACGAUAAUAUUUAUCAUCAAAGUGUGUUUGGUACGUGAGAUGAGAAGGAACAUGUAGGAAAACUAAUGAAAAUGACUUGAAAAUUUUGAGUUUUAAUGAUAAGGACAAAAUAAAGAGUAAAGUGAAUACUACCGGAUUGACUUUUUAGUGUAAAAAUGUGGUUUUUCGUUAAAGUGAACAGUACUGGGUGCUUUUCGUUAAAGUUCCCAACAUGUUUUGAUGAUAAUAAUGGUUAGAAGUAAUAUAGUUCAAAUUUAUUUUUGGUGAUAAUUGAAUAUAAGAUUUCUCUUACAAGUUACAAAUAAAAAUGAAUAUCAUAAAUUUUUUUUUCACUUUUAAUACACACGUAAAUAAAAAACAAAAUGAAAAUGGAAAGAAAUAAAAAUUUGAAUAGAAAUGAAAAAAUUAAGUAAAUUGACAGCAUAAGGUAAUCAGCCAUGAAUAAAAUAUUAUACCAUCCUUAAACAUUGUAGUGCCAUGGAAUCUCAUUUUAGUCUGAAUUUCCUUCUGCUUACACUCACGCGUUCAUAUUGAUGAGCACUACGAGAAAAUAUUAAGAUGAUAGGUCAUACUCAUACGUUCGUUUUUGUUGAGAAUUUUUUUGAAGGAUUUUGCAAUAUGGCAGCCAUGAUUUGCAAAGCCCACCAUCGUAGAGCUCGAUAUCGGCCUAACUUGUGGAGCCACCAUCGCAAAGAAGAACCUGGAAAGCUCAAUCCUUGUCGUCUUUUUCUUAUAUAAGUGUCAUUUUGGUGAACCAAAUGUUCCGAUUCCAACAUCCAAAAUACCACAAUGUGAUUUUUUUCAUACUACAAUUGGAUUGCAUCUUAAAAUUAUAAAGUCUUGGAGCAUUGGUCAUGCCAUCAUGCUGAUUUGUGUUGGAUUUCGUUAGAGAUCGUAAUUAAUCAAUCACCCUUUUUGUGUCUCCCUUCAAAAGCUCAAAUUGAAAUCUGAACUCCCUAGCAAAUAAGAGCCCAAUUUGACAACCAAAAUCUUCAUCGUUCGAGCAUCAAUGUUCUCUUAAAUUCACUACGAGCAAACCGCCAUGAAAUCUCCUUCAUGGACAUCUCAUAAAAUUAGAACGAUACAAAGAAGAUUAGUGUGACUCCUAAGCUAGGAUUACACGUAUGAAUCGUAAAAUAGUUCCUCCUCCACUCUUUGAUUCUCUCUUUCACUGGCUAACAAUAUUUUACUCUACCUUUUCACCCUAAGUAAGAAAGUAAGAAAUGAGCAUUUUGUUAGCAUCUUUUUGAAAAUUUCAAAUUUGAUCCUAAUAUCUCUUUUGCACUAUUUGACUGAACGACAAAUUUUGAUUGUCUAAAUAUUUAUAUCAAACUACAAAUAAUAUUGAUAUUAUAUAUUUAUAAUGUGACUAGAAUUGUAGUACCCAACAUAUCUAUCUUGAAAUAAAUUUUGUUGUCUAUGAAGUGGCCAACUCGACCCUCUCCUAUACUCUUUGAGUUUGUAUAAAUAUAUCAUUGUUUUAAAAAUUGACAUUCAGUACUGCGAUUUAGUGAUAUUCAUUAUCAGGUUCGAAUCUUAGGAGUGACGAGUUUGUGUAAAUAUAUCAUUGUAUUAAAUAUAAAUAAAAAUAAAAAAAAUAAACAAAAUAUUUUUUUGGUCGGACAAAAACACGAAAAUGCCCUUAAAGCCCAAAGUGACCCCUCUACCCUGCCGCUGCCUGCAAGUUCUUUCCUCGCCCCUGUUUCUACGUCCAAUUAAUCUGGAGGUAAGCUUUUAAAUCAGGUUCAAUUAACCUCUAUAAGUACAUCUUUUAAUUAGUAUUGUGUCAUCUUGUUGAUCGUGUUUAAUUUUCUAGGUUACACAACCUAAUCUUGAGGACUCAAAUGAUGAUGAUAAUCUCGAAAAUCUUCCUCUAAUUAACUGUAAUUCGAUGGAAGUGAUUUUUCAACUAAAGGAACCGGUGCAUGAAGAAAGUAGUCACUCCAUUGAAGCAUUCAAUAAAUUGAGGUCCAUGCGGUUAGAUAUAUUGCCAAGUUUAACGCGUGUUUGGGAGACGGGUAGUUCACAACCGAUGUUCACAGGAAGCAGCUUCGGAAACUUGAAAUCGCUGCGGGUCGUUGCACCGAUGAAAUAAUUACAUUACCUAAAGUGAAGUCCAUCAAUCUUAAACGUCGGCCAAAACUCAAGUAUUUUUAAGGUGAAGCUUAUACUUUGAAGUUGCCGUCUUUGGAGUUAUUGGAGGUUGAUGACGUGCAAAACUUAAGCCUAUUAGCUCCAAAGCUUAUUGCCACACAUCCCCGAAUGCAAGUAUACACCGCGUUGAGAGUGGCUAAAUGGAUGGGGGACCUCAAUGCCACUCUAAGGAAUAUUUACGUAAUCACUUAUGUGUGCAUAUGCGCACACUAAAGUAUCUCGCAAUGUGCACACUAAAAUAUGUUUUUUUGUUUUUUUUUUUUGGAAACUCGAAUUAUAUCUCAAGAAAACAUCUCUCUUUUAUUUCUAAUACCGAGAAGAAUGAAGCUGACGGAAUUCUACAAGACACCAUAUAACGAGGAUGUUAACAAUCACAAAAGGUUGUGGCUUCGGCUAUUCGCUUACUUUCAUAUAACGAGGAUACUGUUUCCGUUGCUUACUAUAUGUAUAAUUAAUUUCGAUUGCGAUUAUUACUGUUUGAAUUCAUCUCUUGACUGCCUAUGGGGACGUCAAGGUGGACACCAAAAUGGAGGCGUGAUGACCUGCAUCCGGAAAGUGACGUAGCCAUAACGUGCAUGCAAAUAUAAUUUAAUAAAAUAACUUCAAAUGAUCUACUGAAAAAAUCGGCAUAGUUUCCUUUGGAAUUAGGUUUUGGCCCCCAAAUUUAAAACCUGCUGAAAAAGUUAUAAUUAUUUCAAAACCACAUCCCCGACACCUAAUGGGUUAUCAACCCUCUACUACAUGCACGCAUACUCCAAUAUACUUACUGGUGGUAUAGCAUACAAUUUCAUACACUAGUGAUAACUAGUGUAAGCUGAAAAUUUAACCAUACACGCUAGUGUAAACUGAAGAUAAAACCAUACAUUAGCUGUAGCUAGUGUAAGCUGAAAAAUAUAAUCAUACACUAGCCGUAGCUAGUGUAAGCUGAAUGGGCAUCCUCACAGUAGGGACAAGAUGACUAUACUGUAGUAUAAAUCAUACACGUGUAAGCUGAAUAACAUGUCCGUAGCAUGGACAAGUUGAAUAUUCUUUAAUAUUAACCAUACACAUAUGCGGAAUGACAUGUUUGUAGUAUGGACAAGCUGAAUAUACUGUAAUAUUGACUAUACACGUGUAAGCUAAAUAAUAUUAUCAAACACUGGUUAUGGCUAGCUAGUGUAAGCUGAAUAUGUUCAUACACUGUAAGGUCUGGUAUUAAUUCAUAAAAUCUAUUCUUCCCCUAAACGUAACGGAAAUCAUAUGUAUCUAGGCAUGCUUAAUAUUUGAUAAAGAAAAACAUUUCUGAAAGAAAUGCCCACUGACACCUCCGGCUAGCUCUCCCUUGAGGAGCCUUGUCUACCAAAAAGGUAAUUUCAAGCAACUUCAAGAGAGAAUUUGACCACAUCGCGAAAGUAUGACACCAAACGGUUGAGACCUAGAAGACAUCCAAGAGUUUUUGGAGAAACAGAACGCUCACUGAAGAUAUGUAUUCUAUUUCUAUAGCACGUUUACCCCAAACAAAACACAGGUUAUGGAAAGGAAAAUAACAUUAAGAAAUGCAAAAGAUUGGGGAGAUGCGAAAUAACUCAUCUCUGGUCCUGGAAAUAUUGCAUACAAUAUUGCUCUACCAAUUAAACCAAAUCUUAUGACUCUAGUGACAAGCUAGAAAGCCACAAAAGAAUAAACAAGGAAUCAGGCUAUGCAAUUUCCUACCACAUUUUCACAUCAACGUGAUUGUUAGGGGUUUCAACAACUUCAGAGAAUUACCACAAAUCUCAUCUCCGGCAUUCAGGCAGAAAAAUCAAAUAAAAGUUUGAAAUCAAGAAUCAAUCCCGAAACUGAAAGUUGAAAUUUUGGAAAAAGAACUUACAUCAGAGUACUUUCCAUGAGGAGAAGAUCAUUUUUACCUCUUGGGUCGAGGACAUUCCACGGUGAGCCUGCAUAAAUGAACCAAUUAAACAAAGAAAUGAAAACCGAAUAACUCGGAAGCUAAAGUAUCACAGAUAGAAAAUUGCAUAUACCUAACUAAAAAUGCACAAUCUAACGAGAUGUGGUAGUCUAAGUGUAUAACACAAGGGUGAGAAGUACUCUAGUGCUCACAAACUGAAGCCACAAGACUACCAGAUAAUGUAGCUUCAGAAAUAUCAUUCGUUCUUUUGCGCAUAAUCAUACAUGCUCAUCAGAACAAAGUAUGAUCUCCAACGGAAAUAGAAGUGACACAGGUGAAAGUCAAAAUAAACAAACAAAUAAUAGUGAACGAGAGGCCCUAAAGAAUUGUUCUAACUAGGAGACAAGCUUAAAUUAUUCAGAUAAUAAGUCUUGCACAAACCCAACUUUCAAAAAUACUAGAUUAGUAUGCCGUGAUAUUUAACAAUGCCGUCAAAAACUUACUUGUUGAACAACUCAACCUGUAUUCCAUCUCCUUCUCUGCCAUACCAAAAAUUUGCACAAUUGUUUAAAACCAAAUUAAGGUCUUUCGAAAACCCACCUGAGAUUAUUUGAAAAACACGAAUUUAGAACAAUAAUUCAAAACCAAAGAACAGAAAAUCCAUCACACCAGAGUAAAAAUUAACCAUCUUGUUGCUUCCUAACUCUCAAGAAAUAUCCACGUCUCACUUUUACUAAUGUCAAAACACCGCCAUCAUUGAUCAAUUAGACAAAUAAGACCCAAUUCGAUUACGCCCAAACUCACAGAACACCCAGAUUCCCAACACCAAUUGAACAAUCUAACCAUGAAUUUCCAAAACUUUCCCCAAAAUCCAGCCUUGGGCAUGCAUUAAAUCCAAUCUAAAACUUGAAUUCAUUUUUAGAGAACAAAAUGUAAAAACUUUGGAACAAUGAAGCAAAAGGGUACUCACCUGUUCCUUGUCCAAAACCGUCGGCGCAUUGUUGGGGGCAGCCAUUAGAACCUGAACAAUUCGCAAAUUAAUUUACACAAACUUCUUCGAAACCGAAUGAAUUAGCAGAGAGGGUUUAAGUAAUCUUACUCGGCGGGAUGGAAUCGAACGCGCUGAAAGUGGUUGCUGUAAAUGCAGAGGGGUUUAAGCGUCCGAUUUGAAGCUAAAGCAGAAGAAAAUAAAAAUCCCACUGAGCUAAUAAUGUACGAAUUAGGGUUUUAGGAGUUAAUAUAGCGUGUAUAUGCGAUGGACGGUUUUGUUUUUAGGGGGGGACUUUCAACCGGAAAAGUUAGUGGAUUACUGCCCUUUCUUUUUUCCUUCCACCACAAGUAGUGCGAUAAUUUCACAAAGGCCCUGUAUGGUGGGCCGCCGUAUAUAAUUGUCCUUUUCUUUCUUAUUUUUUUGGAUUUAUUUAUUUAUUUUCUAACUCAUAGUUCAUCAGGGCUCAGGUUCAGUUGAUUAAAGUAGUAUGUUUCUUUUGUUAUGCUAUAGUUUGAAUAUUCAUUCAAAUGAUUUAGAUUUCUUCGUGCAAACGAUCAUUCAAUUAAAAGAAAAACUCGUAUUAUGUUUGCUUACAAGAAAUGAAUAUCAUUCUCAUUGUAUGUUUACUAACAACCAAGGAUUUGAGAGGAAAAAACGUGAAUCCACAUUGAUUUUGCAUAUCUAAUACCUUCUCAUACCAAAAAAAAAUCAAGGUAUAAGAUUAUUAAGGGGGUUGUUUAAACUCAUGGAAAUGUGUUUUGAUGUUCGCCGAAUAACAAUUGUUUGUUCUCGAUUCAUUUCAAAUUUUAACAGAUGACUCGUAACUUAAGCAGUUAAGAGUUUUUUCUCGUGCUCUCAAAACUUGGCGUUACCUAGUGAAUCAUAUAAUAUUCAAUAAUGCCAUACCAUUUGAAUGGAUCGAAGAUUUCAAAUUGACAACAUUUGUGCCGGUAACCUGUGUAUUACAAGGAUCAUUGAGAAAAUACAUACUUUCACAUUGUGCCGGUAGCUUUCAUUAGCAAUGCUUCACAAUUUACAGGUACGAGGGCUUGACCAGCAUCUCCUCCGGAUCUUUCCACACUGGGAGUCCUUAACUGUACAAAUAAGAUUCACAUACGCAAAAUAUGUGCUAGACUACGCACUGCAAAUGGAAACAAGUUGUCACCCCUAUUUAUCCAAAAAUAAUAUACUUGUUAUAGAUAUCCGUGUAGAAUAUUAUAUUACGAGGGGCGGAGAGCGUGUGUACGGCAAAGUAGGAACGGGUACAGCAGCAACGUAGCAGCACAAGCAAGAGGAUGAUUGGAACUGCAACUUACCCCCACACAUUCACAGAAGCCUUUUUCUUUCCCCUGCUGGUGUUCAUGAAAGCACUUUGAAGUGAAAAAGCCAUGAAAUUACGAAGGCAAGAAUCAUGCAGGCAAGAAGGAAAUUCAUAAUGCAGCGGCCAUGCCACAUGGUUCAGGUUUCAACCUGGAUCAUGGGUGCUGAUGCGGCUGUGGCAGUACUGCUAUUUGCCUCGUUUAUCUGGCCACUGGAAAUGUUGAAUGCAGUUACUCCACAGAUCUCGCAGGUUCUGCAAAUCAAAUAAAUAAAAUUAUGCAUAGGCAGAAAAUAACAUAUCAGUCAGACAUGACAAGCAAUUACAACCAUAACACAACAUAAUGAAGAAACGUACCAUGAGGAUUUUGAACAAACAUAAUGAAGUGUAACCAAUAGCAUACAAAUAUAGAAGAAAAUGCUAUACAAUCACUGUAAGUGAUUUCAAAGGCCAUCAAUCUUCUAUUUCUGUUUCUGGAAAAAAGUCAUGUCGUCGAGAAGUCGUUCCAUUUGCUUACCAUGAUGAGUAAAAUGAAAUUUGAACUAGCUUGCUGUUCUUGCAUAUCUUCUCCUCAUCCUGGUUACCAAGCAAGUCAGUCUUGACCAAUCCAUCUAUAUUAUCAUGUGAUGCAGCUUAUCUAGAUUAUAUUUCCUGUGGCCUAAGUUUGGAUAUUUCCUUUGCAGAGGGUAUAGCGUGCAAGGUCGUAAGAACUUUACCAAAUUAUCAUCCUUCGAGUUUAGAAAAUCUCCCAAAUAUAUAAGCGAAAUAAACUUGUGACGGAAUCAAAGAAUGCAAAUGCUCAUCAUCAUUUACUAAUCCAUAUGCAUAAUGUAAACAUUUACAUCUCUAUUAGAAGCAUACAUAAAAAAUACAUGGCACACAAGAUAUCCACUUUUCGACAUAGGAGCUCAAUUCUUGCAUACAAACACACUUCCUUUAGCUUGCUUUGGACCUCGCACUUUCCACUAAUGUAAAUGCCACAAAAAGUGUGACUGUAAAAACUAUAAACGUAGAACGAUCGAUAUGUUUGAGUUCAGAUGGACUGUAAUAGUGGUGACUACAAGAUUUGUUCUUUUACUAGAUUUUCUCGUAUUUCAUAUAAGCAUACGCAUUCUACUAUAUACGUGAUCUGCCUCAUUCAGCAUUCCAGUAAGAAGCAAAAUGAUAAGAACAAUUGUGACAGUUACAUCAAAAGAAAGAAGCUAAUUAACAAGUAAUCAUUCGAAUAAGCUGAACUCACGAAAGUAGGAACCUAAACACUAUCAAGAUGGCCUCUGUUGUAGCAUGCCCAUAGUAAGAUCAUAGUUUGAAGUAUGUUAGGAUGCCACUUGUCAUCAUCUCAAUAUGACAAAUGUAAGGUUGAGAUGCUAUAGUAGUAGAUAAGAUGGUUGUAAGUUGUUAGAUGAUAGCUUACAAAGGAAGCUAAGUAGUUUACAUAUAAGGAAGUCGGUUGUAAUUGGGAGGGGGUCAUUGGAAUAAUCUCUGUUUAAUACAAGAAAGUACUACGCAAUUGUCAAGAAGCCGAGCAAGGUUUUAACAUUGGUAUUAGCCAGUGUCGAUUCCUCUCAAUCUUUCAUUGUUGUAUGCCCCGCCGACCCUGGAACACCAUGGAAUCGCGAGUGUCAACUUUGGAAACCAUGCUCGCCAAUCUCAAAGCUAAGCUCAAGAACAACCAAGAGAUGAUCAUGAUGCAGCUGCAAUCUAUGGCAGCCAAAGGCGGUUCUUGCAGCGGCGAAUCGUCCGAGGCAACACCGCUGAAUCCUCAGAUACAGGGCGAAGUACAAUGUGGUAGCCACGAUUUGGGUCUUCAAAAUUGCUGGGCAUUUCUGAAAAUGGACUUUCCAAGGUUCAUGGAAGGUGAUGAUCCUUUGGGUUGGGUCUAUAAAGGCGACCAUUAUUUCGAUUUCUACCACAUCGAAGAUGCUAAGAAGGUGAAAAUGGCUUCAUUCCACAUGGAAGGGGAAGCUCUUCAAUGGUUCCAGUGGGCCAAUUGUCUAACCAAUUAUCCUAAUUGGGAGGAUUUCACCAAGGUUUUUUGUCAAGAAUUUGGACCUUCCGAAUUCGAGGACUCUGCUGAAAGUUUGGUCAAGUUACGGCAAACUGGGACACUCCGAGAUUACUUGUUGGAAUUUUGACAUUUAUCGAAUCGUACCAAAGAUAUCAGCCUUGCUUUGUUGAAAUCUUGUUUCAUUGGGGGUCUUAGGCCGGAAUUGCAACUUGAUGUGAAGCUCUUCAAACCUAAGGAUGUGCUGGAAGUUGCUGCAUUAUCUCAGCAGAUCGAUGCCAAGCUUACAGAUCUCAAGGUGAAAACUUUCUAUAAAUCACCUACAAUUCAACCCAAUUUUAGAUCACCAGUUUUGCAGAAUGUUAGUAACCAAACAUUGGCUGAUAUUCGUACUAAAACUCCUAAUGUACGAUGAUUGACCCCAGAAGAAGUGGAUUAUUGUUGAAAUAAUGGAUUGUGUUUUCACUGUAAGGAGAAAUAUGUGAGGGGCCAUACUUGUGAAAAGAAACAGUUGCAUCUUCUUGAUGUUCAAGACUGUGAGAUGGGUGAUGAGUGUGCUGAGGAAGUAGAGAAUGAGGAACCAGAGAUAACUGUUUGUGCUAUUUUUGGCAUCCCAGCUCCACCUAUAAUUAAUACUAUGAAGGUCAAUGGAUUUGUUAAAAACUGUCCAGUCACUAUACUCAUUGAUUCUAGUAGUUCUCAUAACCUUGUUGAUUUGGGAUUAGUUAAAAGACUCAGGGGGUAUCUUGAUACUGCAUAUCUUUUCAAUGUUAAACUGCAAAUGGGGGACGAGUUGCUACGAAAGGAACAUUAGCUCCUACUGUGAAAAUUUAGGAUUUCAGUUGUAUAACUGAUCUCUAUGCCAUUCCUUUAGGGGGUUGUGAAAUUGUAUUGGGGGUACAAUGGCUUCGAACCCUUGGCCCCAUUCUCUGGGAUUUCGAUAAACUUUACAUGAAAUUCUUAAAUGGGUCUCUCAUACAUAUUGUAUUACAAGUCCAGGAUCUUCCUUACAUCAGCUUGAAGACAUAUCAGCAUUGCAGAUGCAAAAACUUUUGCAGUAGGAAAACACAAUAGGAGCAGUUCUUUAUCAAAUGGGACCUACUACUAUGCAAUGUUAUUCUCCGGAGCAAACAUUGGGGGAUCUAAGUUCUCAACAUCUCACUAAGCUGCAACAACAAGACUUAAAGUCCCUUUUGGGGGAAUAUGAGAUAUUGUUUGCAACCCCUAAUACCUUACCUCCUAAUAGGUUGCAUGAUCAUAGAAUUCCCUUGAUAGCAGGAAGAAGUAAACCUCCAAAUACGCCUUUAUAGAUAUGGUCCAGUGCAAAAAUCAGAGUUUGAAAAAUGUGUUCAGGAGUUUUUACAAGCUGGUUUUAUUAGGGAAAGUAAUAGCCCUUAUUCAUCUCUAGUAAUGUUAGUGAGGAAGAAAGAAGGGACAUGGAGGAUGUGUAUGGAUUAUAGGGGUCUGAAUGGCAUCACUAUCAAAGACAAAUUUCCAAUUCCUUUGAUUGAUGAACUUCUGGAUGAAUAGUUUGGUGUUCAAUUAUUUCUAGAUUUAAGAGCUGGUUAUCAUCAAAUUAGGAUGUAUCAUAAUGAUAUAGAGAAUACAGCUUUUAGAACACAUGAUGGCCAUUAUGAAUUUUUGGUCAUGCUAUUUGGUUUAACGAAUGCUCCUGCCACAUUUCAGUGUUUGAUGAAUGAAAUUUUCUGACCAUUUUUGAAAAAGUUCAUCUUGGUGUUUUUUGAUGACAUUUUGGUAUAUAGUGCUACUUGGGAAUUGCCCCUGCAACACUUGAGGGUAGUAUUUGAUCUGUUGAAAGCUCACAGUUUGUUUGUUAAGAAAUCGAAAUGUGCCUAUGGGAGGGAUAAAGUUGAAUAUUUGGGACAUAUUGUGUCCAAAGAUAGGGUAGUUGCCGACCCUACCAAGUUGGAUUCAAUUGCUAACUGGCCUAUCCCUACUACAGAAAGUUUAUUCCCCAUUUUGGCAAAAUUAUAGGUACCUUGAUUGCCUUGACCAAGAAGGACAGUUUUAUUUGGUCUGAGGAAGCUACACAGGCCUUUAACACUCUUAAAGUAGCCAUGCUUUCCCCUCAAGUUUUAGCUCUACCUAAUUUCAGUAAGCCCUUCAUUAUUGAGAGUGGUGCAUCUGGACAUGGCAUUGGAGCAAUAUUACAACAAGAAGGCAGGCCCAUUGCUUUUACAAGCAAAGCCCUUAGCCCCAGAAAUCAAACUAUGUCAGCAUAUGAACGGGAAAUGUUGGCAAUCAUUCAUGCAAUUCACAAAUGGCAGUCUUAUUUGGUGGGGAACCAUUUUAUAAUUCUCACACAUCAUCACAGCUUGAAAUAUUUCUUACAAGGAAGAGCUCACACACCUUUUAAGCAAAAAUGGGUGUCUAAACUCAUGGGCUUCGAUUAUGAAAUUCAAUAUAAGCAAGGCUGUGACAACCAAGCUGCUGAUGCAUUAUCAUGUAGUCCUUUAACUACUGAUCUAACUAUUGAGUUCCGGUGUGAUUCCAUUGUUUGUGCAGCUAUUUCCUACCCUUAUUCAACAUGGAUUGAUGACCUUAUGAGACAUGUUGAAAAAGACACUUGGGUGAUUGAAAAAACACAGAAAGUUCUUAGUGAUACCUCAGAUGGGGGACCACUUGGCAAUCUCAGGUUUCAAGUGGAUAAUGGGUUUCUUAAGUACAAUGGUCAAAUUGUACUCAGCCCUUGUAGUUCAUGGAAAUAAAAAAUCUUUGAGGAACAUCAUGCAACCCCACCUGAAGGCCAUGAAGGUUUUCUUAAAACCUAUGAAAGAAUCUCACGAUCAUUCUAUUGGGAAGGAAUGAAGAAAGACAUCAAAAAGUUAGUAGCAUCUUGUAGUGUCUGCCAACAACAUAAGUAUGAAACCUUAUCUCCGGCUGGUUUCCUUCAGCCAUUACCUAUUCCAUCCAAAGUAUGGUCUGAUAUCUCCAUGGAUUUCAUUGUGGGGCUUCCUUCUUGCAAAGGGAAAACAAUGAUCUGGGUUGUAGUAGAUCAGCUAUCCAAGUAUGCUCAUUUCCUAGCUCUAUCUCAUCCUUUCACAGCAUCCAUGAUUGCACAACUUUUCAUUGAUAACAUUUUUAAGUUGCAUGGUAUGCCCAGUUCUAACUCCGCCUAUGUCUUACAUGGCCGGUCCCAAGCCCGGAUAAAGGAGGAGGGGGAGGGCGUCAGGUAGUCGACAGCCGGCACUCCAUGAUCACGUCGAAUCCUUAUGAAAAUGAAUCCAGAACAAAAUCGCGCUAAAGCUAGGGCGUCACCCGUAAGUGGCGCGCUGUGUGGCCUGAGCACAGUGAUAAGUGAGCAAGGGUCGCUGUAUCUCCAUCGGCACCCGGAUGCAGUGUUAAAUGAGCAAGGGGGCCAUAGAAACUUCUUUUCGAACGACUCCACUCAAAGUUGUUUGGGAGCAUAUGCUCCUAUCAACUUUACCCGGGACACACAAAAAGAAGUACUUUGAUCCUAUUAGACGGGGGAGGGUGAAAGAAGCUAGGACAGAAGGGUAGAGUUCAAGAGAGCAAAAUGCGUUUAGGAACGUGGAAUAUAGGAACCUUAACGGGAAAAUCUAUGGAAGUAGUGGAAGUUAUGGUGAGGAGAAGGAUAAAUAUUAUGUGCCUACAAGAAACUAAGUGGGUUGGUAGUAAGGCAAAGGAUCUAGAAAACUCAGGGUUUAAACUUUGGUAUUCGGGCACAAAUAGAACGAGAAACGGUGUUGGCAUCAUCGUGGACAAGACCUUGGUACAAGAUGUUGUAGAUGUCAAGAGGGUAGGAGAUAGAAUCAUGGCAAUCAAGAUUGUAAUAGGACAAGAACUUAUCAAUGUGAUUAGUGCGUACGCACCUCAAGUAGGGUUGGAUACGAGUUCGAAGGAGAAAUUUUGGGAAGAUCUUGGAGACUUGGUGCAAGGAAUUGCUCAGACGGAGAAGUUAUUAUAUAGGAGGAGAUUUAAAUGGACACGUGGGCAGGGAGACAGGCAACUAUGGAGGUUUUCAUGGUGGCCAUGGUUUUGGGGAGAGAAACGAGGAUGGGGAAGCUAUCUUGGAUUUUGCAAUGGCAUAUGAUCUCUUCUUAGCCAACACCUUCUUUAAGAAGAGAGAAGAACAUGUGAUCACCUACAAGAGUGGGUCGUCAAAAACACAAAUAGAUUUUCUUCUAAUGAGGAAAGGGGAUCGUAUAACUUGUAAGGAUUGCAAAGUUAUACCAGGAGAGAGCGUGGCUAAUCAACAUCGCUUGUUGGUGAUGGAUGUACAUAUCAAAAGAGUAAGACAAAAGAACAAGACUUGGAAGUGCCCAAGGACUAGAUGGUGGAAUCUAAAAAGAAGAAAAACAAGCCAUUUUCAAAGAGAAGGUAAUCACCCAAUGUGUGUGGGAUAGAGAGGGGGAAGCUAGCCAAAUGUGGGAUUCCAUGUUGGAAUAAGAGCUAGUUGCAUCCGAAAGAGGUAGCAAAAGAGGUAUUAGGAGAGUCCAAGGGCUUUGCCCCACACCAAAAGGAAUCUUGGUGGUGGAAUGAGGAGGUACAAACAAAGGUGAAGGCUAAGAAGGAAUGUUGUAAAGCCUUAUACAAGGAGAGGACUGAUGAAAAUGGUGAAAGGUAUAGAAAAGCGAAGCAAGAGGCGAAGAAAGCUGUCAGAGAAGCUAAGUUAGCGGCUUACGACGAUAUGUAUAAACGACUAGAUACCAAAGAAGGAGAGUUGGAUAUCUAUAUAAACUAUCUAGAGCAAGGGAAAAGAAGACAAGGGACCUAAACCAAGUGAGGUGCAUCAAGGAUGAGGAUGAGGAUGGAAAGGUUCUUGCUACAGAGAACGCGGUUAAAGACAGAUGGAGAGGUUAUUUUCAUAAUCUUUUCAAUGAUGAAGGACAUGAAAUGAGUGCUUCUUUAGGGGAGUUGAGUAACUCAGAAGAGUGUAGAAACUACUCUUUUUAUCGUCGAAUCCGGAAGGAAGAAGUGGUUGUAGCUUUGAAGAAGAUGAAGCAUAAAAAAGCAAUAGGCCCAGACGAUAUACCAAUCGAAGUGUGGAAACUUUUGGGAGAGACAGGUAUAACAUGGCUCACUGACCUUUUCAAUAGGAUUUUGAAAACGAAGAAGAUGCCAAAUGAGUGGCGAAUGAGCACUUUGGUGCCUAUCUACAAGAAUAAGGGCGACGUACAAAAUUGCAUGAACUAUAUAGGGGUAUUAAGCUAAUGAGUCAUCAUACAAUGAAGCUCUGGGAGAGAGUCAUUGAGCAUAGAUUGAGGCAAGAGACACGGUUUCGGACAACCAAUUUCGGGUUCAUGCCAGGGCGCUCAACCAUGGAGGCAAUCUAUCUCUUACGAAGAUUGAUGGAAAGAUAUAGAGAUGGGAAAAAGGAUUUACACAUGGUCUUUAUAGAUUUGGAAAAAGCGUAUGAUAGGGUCCCAAGAGACAUUCUUUGGAGGAUUUUAGAGAAGAAAGGAGUACGAGUAGCAUAUAUCCAAGCUAUAAAGGAUAUGUAUGAAGGAGCAAAGACUGCCGUAAGAACUCAUGAAGGACAAACCGAAAGCUUUCCCAUAACUGUAGGAUUACAUCAAGGCUCAUCCUUAAGUCCUUACCUUUUUGCGUUGGUAAUGGAUGAGUUAACAGGACAUAUUCAAGAUGAUAUUCCUUGGUGUAUGCUUUUCGCAGACGAUAUAGUGUUGAUAGAUGAAACUCAGGAAGGGGUAAAUGCAAAGCUUAACCUUUGGAGAGAAGUGUUGGAAUCUAAAGGUCUUCGCCUAAGCCGAUCAAAGACAGAAUAUAUGGAGUGCAAGUUCAGUGCAAAUGGAGGCCAAAACGAGUUAGGGGUGAGGAUCGGAGAUCAAGAAAUACCAAAGAGCGACCGUUUUCGUUACCUAGGAUCUAUCUUGCAAAAGAACGGAGAAUUAGAUGGAGAUCUCAACCAUAGAAUACAAGCUGGAUGGAUGAAGUGGAAGAGUGCAUCCGGCGUGUUGUUGUGUGACCGCCGUAUGCCACUGAAGCUCAAGGGAAAAUUUUAUAGGACGGCAAUAAGGCCGGCGAUGCUGUAUGGCACAGAAUGUUGGGCGGUGAAACAUCAACACGUACACAAAAUGGGUGUAGCGGAGAUGAGGAUGCUUCGUUGGAUGUGUGGGCACACGAGAAAGGAUAAGAUUAGGAAUGAGGAUAUCCGGGGUAAAGUAGGAGUAGCCGAAAUUGAAGGAAAGAUGAGAGAAAAUCGGUUACGGUGGUUUGGACAUGUGCAAAGAAGGCCUACUGACGCUCCGAUUAGAAGAUGCGACUAUGGGACAGAGGUUCAGGGCCGAAGGGGUAGAGGAAGACCUAGGAAAACUUUGGAAGAGACUCUAAGAAAAGACUUAGAGUACUUGGAUCUAACGAAGGACAUGACACAGGAUCGAGCACAAUGGCGUUCUAAGAUUCAUAUAGCCGAUCCCACUCAGUGACUUGGAUUUUCCAAGUCUCCAACCGAGAAGUUUUCCUCACUCGGGAAAUUAAGGGAACACUACCCCAACCUACAUGCUCCACUCAGAAAGCUUCAACAUACAAGCUUCAACAAAAGAAAAUUCAAAGAACUUAGCGAAGAAGGCUUUGGUGUAUUUAACACAAUACGUUGAAAUGAAGGAAAGCUUAUUUAUUGAUAUCCCCGAUAAGCUACAAAUAUGUACAUAUACAUGAGUCAAAAUAAACAACACAAGAGGGAGCCUUCACAAAGGUUGCUUAGGAGAAGUCUCAGCAGUCGGUAGAGCCCCAGAAAGAGAAGGCACCGGAGGGGGAUCAUUUGGAGCCUCAGUACUGGACAGAACCCUAGAAGGAGGAGGCAUCAGAGGUUGAUCAUUUGGAGCUUCAUUACGCGGUACAGCCCCAGAAGACGAAGGCAAUAAAUGCCUUUGGAACAAACCCACAAAUCUCUGAUGAUCAAGUAAAACCUGACCAUCAGUUUCCUUCAUCUGGUCAAGCUUCCUCUUCAUGUUUGUAGCAUAGUCAUGUGCGAGCCGGUGCAACUGUUUAUUCUCAUGCUUGAGCCCUCUAAUCUCCUGUUUGAGACUCAUCACUUCAGCCGCCAAUGAUUCAACUUGGCGGGUUCGAGCAAAUAGGCGUUGGGCCAUAUUAGACACAGAACCUGCACACUGAACACUGAGAGCCAGCGAAUCCUUAACAGCUAACUCAUCAGACCGUUUGGAAAGUAGUCUGUUAUCUUUGGGAGUGAGAAGGUUCCUGGCCACCACCGCAGCGGUCAUAUCAUUCUUCAUCACGGAAUCCCCAACGGUAAGAGGACCAGUAGGGGAGACGAAGGAUGGGCGCCAUAUGUUGUCUGGAGAAGGCGGGGCUGCCUCUUCAACAAGGUUCAAGUCAAAACGACGGUCGGAGGGGCCAGACAUUUUCAAAGGUGUUGAAGAGAGAAGAGGUCGGACAAAUCAAGAUCUUAGAAGUGCAAGAAUGAAGCUUCUACUGGUGGAGAUUCAAGUGUGCUUUGGAACUUAAUGCCAGCCCCUAUAAAAAUCUGCACUCGACGGAAGCUUCAGAAAUCGAAGAGGCGCCUGCUCAGAAAUCGAAGAGGCGUUUGCUUUCUCAAAAGCUGGGCUGCUUAGAGAUCACGAGGGUUGAUCUCAGAAAUCGAAGAGGCGUUUGCUUUCUCAAAAGUUGGGCUGCUCAAAGACCACGAAGGCCGAUCUCAGAAAUCGAAGAGGCGCUCGCUUUCUCAAAAGCUGGGCUCCCCAGAGACCACGAGGGCCGAUCUCAGAAAUCGAAGAGGCACCUACUUUUCCAGCCUUUUCCAGCCUUGUCAGCACCUGUCACACGCACACUCAGCUUUGCGGAAAUUAUGGGCAUUCUGUCGAAGACUUCUGGGGAAGUAGAAAACACAUGAAUCUUACUGUUCAAUCACCCACUUCCCACACGCAACAAUAGCUCAUGGGUACCACAGAUAACUUUGCCAAAGUUCUCUGCCAAAGUUGAGCACGUGAAGCUUGCAGCUCCCACUACAUCGCUCUGACCAAGAAGGGUAAAAGAAUAGCAAAGAAACAGCACUAACAAAGUUUAGACCCAUAAAUUUUGAAGGUCUAGCUACCAUAUUAUUACCCACAAGGGUAAAGGAACAGUACCACUGCUGGAUAAUUGGAAAGUCCCUGUGUGUCAACCUCUGUGCUUCGUGGCAAGGUAGACUAGCAAACAUGCCCAACCUUUACUCACAUUCGAGAAAACACUCCCAAUAAGAUUGCUUGCUCCAAAAUCGAAGAGGCACCGUCCUCCGAAUCUCGAGAGCCAGACUCCCAACAUGACUACUUUCUUAAAAAUCGAAGAGAGGGUAAAGGAACAGUACCAUUGCUGGAUAAUUGGAAAGUCCCUGUGUGUCAACCUCUGUGCUUCGUGGCAAGGUAGACUAGCAAACAUGCCCAACCUUUACUCACAUUCGAGAAAACACUCCCAACAAGAUUGCUUGCUCCAAAAUCGAAGAGGCACCGCCCUCCGAAUCUCGAGAGCCAGACUCCCAACAUGAUUACUUUCUCAAAAAUCGAAGAGACACUGCUCCCCGAAUCUCGAGAGCCAGACCCCCAGCAUGAUUGCUUUCUCAAAAAUCGAUGAGGCAUCGUUCUCCGAAUCAAUCGAAGAGGCGCUCGCUUUCUCAAAAGCUGGGCUGCUCAGAGACCACGAGGGCCGAUCUCAGAAAUCGAAGAGGCACCUACUUUUCUAGCCUUGUCAGCACCUGUCACACGCACACUCAGCUUUGCAGAAAUUAUGGGCAUUCUGUCGAAGACUUCUGGUGAAGUAGAAAGCACAUGAAUCUUACUGUUCAAUCACCCACUUCCCACACGCAACAAUAGCUCAUGGGUACCACAGAUAACUUUGCCAAAGUUCUCUGCCAAAGUUGAGCACGUGAAGCUUGCAGCUCCCACUACAUCGCUCUGACCAAGAAAGGUAAAAGAAUAGCAAAGAAACAGCACUAACAAAAGUUUAGACACAUAAAUUUUGAAGGUCUAGCUACCAUAUUAUUACCCACAAGGGUAAAGGAACAGUACCACUGCUGGAUAAUUGGAAAGUCCCUGUGUGUCAACCUCUGUGCUUCGUGGCAAGGUAGACUAGCAAACAUGCCCAACCUUUACUCACAUUCGAGAAAACACUCCCAACAAGAUUGCUUGCUCCAAAAUCGAAGAGGCACCGUCCUCCGAAUCUCGAGAGCCAGACUCCCAACAUGACUACUUUCUCAAAAUCGAAGAGAGGGUAAAGGAACAGUACCAUUGCUGGAUAAUUGGAAAGUCCCUGUGUGUCAACCUUUGUGCUUCGUGGCAAGGUAGACUAGCAAACAUGCCCAACCUUUACUCACAUUCGAGACAACACUCCCAACAAGAUUGCUUGCUCCAAAAUCGAAGAGGCACCGCCCUCCGAAUCUCGAGAGCCAGACUCCCAACAUGAUUACUUCCUCAAAAAUCGAAGAGACACUGCUCUCCGAAUCUCGAGAGCCAGACCCCCAGCAUGAUUGCUUUCUCAAAAAUCGAAGAGGCAUCGUUCUCCGAAUCUCGAGAGCCAGAUACCACAGACCACUUUUUCAAAGUGCUCUGACAGAGUUAAAACAUGUGAAACUGGCAGCUCCCACUACCGUGCUAUGACCAAGCAGGGUAAAGGAAUAGCAUUACUACUUGUUGUUAGGGAGACUCCUAUAUAUGUCGACCUCCAUCCCCAACGGACAGGCAGACCUGCAAAAAUGCUCAACCCUUCAUCAUAUCUGAGAGGGCACUCCCAACGAAGCCUUUCGAAAUAUUCAGCUUUCUUUCCCCCCGAUAAUACCUCUGCAAACAAGCUAUACUAGAGCAAGAAUAUCUCAUAUCAUCAGGGUUAAAAGCAAGAGUAUCCCAUAUCAUGCUUUUUUCCCUGUCUUUUCCUUUGGCCUUGUUUUUACCUGCAAGACAAGGAGAAAGAGAGCAAUCAGUCAGCACUUGGAAUCAAGCUUCCAGCCAGGAACUGACUGCCUGGAACCCCUUACCUGAUUACUUACCUGGCAUUGCUCUCGAGUACUCAUCUUCAACAUCUUAUGUUUCCAGGGAAGAUUCCGCAUCUGCUUGAGGAACAGAUAGGGCAAGUGCGAAGGAUACAAGGAAGCAUGUGGAGACAAGCGUAACAGCACACGUGCCGAUACAUCCAUUACUCUGUCAAAAGCAAAAGUAUCCCAUAUCAGCAGGGUGGAACGUACUCUAGAUUUGAUGGACUUGUUUUGACCCUCAAAUUCUUCAGUCGGCCUUAUACUCUGGAGGAAACCAGAAAACCCUCCAGCUCAGUUCAAGAAUAAGCCUGUGGAAAGUUACUUCUUCAAAAGCAAAAGUAUCUCAUAUCAUCUCUUCUCAUUUUUCUUCUCUUUAUCCUUCAUGCUGCUGCAAGAUGGGGAGAAGGUGAACAAUCAGUCGGAGCUCUGAUUGCUUACCUUGUCUGUCACCUCUUUCAGCAGACCCCCUAGCUCGGCGACUUGGGGGACUCCUACUACAUGGUUUGUAUCGCGCUUGACCAAGCCUGAAACUACAAGUAAGCUUCAAGUGAAAUUGAUACAUUACCUUGUGCAUCUCCACCAGUUAAAGAUACCACCCCUGGAUGGAGGAAGAGUACUUCCAGAGAAGAUGCCACAUCUACCUAUGAGACAGAUAAGGCAAGUCAAGACGAUACCACACUCCGAUACUUAGAAGUUUCGUGAUUACGAGAUCAUUCUCCCACAAUAUUUCCUAAUGUCAUUUGUACUAAAUCAUUCACUUGUACUCACUAAAGGAGAGCUUGAACCUAUGUACUUGUGUAAACCCUUCACAAUUAAUGAGAACUCUUCUAUUCCGUGGACGUAGCCAAUCUGGGUGAACCACGUACAUCUUGUGUUUGCUUUCCUAUCUCUAUCCAUUUAUAUACUUAUCCACACUAAUGACCGGAGCAAUCUAGCGAAGAUCACAAAAAGCGACCGUUUUCGCUACCUAGGAUCUAUCUUGCAAGAGAACGGAGAAUUAGAUGGAGAUCUCAACCAUAGAAUACGAGCUGGAUGGAAAGAGUGCAUCCGGCGUGUUGUGUGACCGUCGUAGGCCACUGAAGCUCAAGGGAAAAUUUUAUAGGACGGCAAUAAGGCCAGCGAUGUUGUAUGGCACAGAAUGUUGGGCGGUGAAGCAUCAACACGUACACAAAAUGGGUGUAGCGGAGAUGAGGGAUGCUUCGUGGGAUGUGUGGGCACACGAGAAAGGAUAAGAUUGAGAAUGAGGAUAUCCGAGGUAAAGUAGGAGUAGCCGAAAUUGUAGGAAAUAUGAGAGAAAAUCGGCUCCGGUGAUUUUGAACAUGUGCAAAGAAGGCCGACUGACGCUCCGGUUCGAAGAUGUGACUACGGGACAGAGGUUCAGGGCCGAAGGGGUAGAGGAAGACCUAGGACAACUUUGGAAGAGACUCUAAGAAAAGACUUAGAGUACUUGGAUCUAAAGGAGGACAUGACACAAAACCGAGCGCAAUGGCGUUCUAGGAUUCAUAUAGCCGACCCCACUUAGUGGGAAAAGGCUUUGUUGUUGUUGUUGUUGUUGUAUGGUAUGCCCAGUUCUAUCAUCAGUGAUAGAGAUCCCAUUUUUAUGAGUAAAUUCUGGAAAACGUUUUUUGCACUAUAAGGGUCAGCUCUUUGCUUUAGCUCAAGGUAUCACCCUCAAACCGAUGGUCAAACAGAAGUGUUGAACAGGUGUCUUGAAACAUAUCUCUGGUGUUUUUGCAGUUUGCAGCCUAAAAAAUAGCUACAUUGGUUGUCUUGGGCAUAAUGGAGUUUCAACACUAGUUAUCACAUUGCCACCAAAUUAACACCUUAUGAGAUAGUGUAUGGUCAGGCUCCUCCAGUGGUUCCUUCUUAUGGAAAUGGCACUACAAAGGUAGCGUCAGUGGAUCAAUGCUUGCAGGAAAAAAACAUGAUGUUAUCUAUUCUCAAAGCUUAUUUGAUAGCAGCUCAAUGUAGAAUGAAGGUCCAGUUUGACAAGAAACGAACUGAAAGGCAGUUUAAGGUUGGUGAUUUUGUAUAUUUGAGGUUGGUGCCUUAUCAGUACAUGUCCUUAGCUUCUCACUCCUUUAGCAAAUUACAACUAGGGAUGGGCAAAUACCCAUUGGUUACGGGUAACCACGGUUACCCGUCUAUUUAAAUUAAACGGUUACUGUUAUGGGUAACCGUUUAGAUAAAUAAACGGUUAUGAGUAUAACCGUUUACCCGCGAAAUUUAAGUGGGUGGUUAUGGAUAUUAACCACGGUUAUAAACGGGUAACCAUUUACCCAUUUAUUUUAUAUAUGUAAAACUAACACAAACCAUGUUCUCGAUUCAAUAAUACUUAGCACCCAAUAAAUUAGCAAGGAAUUCAUCGGCCAUUCUCUCAAUAACACUACUACAGGAAUGAUGAUUCUCAUCAUUAAGGAAUUGGCCAAAUUAAUUUAAAUUCCUUGCGGGUAACCGUGAAAUUGACAGAAAUGCUUUGACAGAAAUGUCUUCUAAACAAUUUUUGUAACCCAAUAAUACUUGGCAAAUAUUAUAUUUACCUUCAUCGAUAACAGUUAAAAAUAUCGUCUGUAAAUUAUUGUUUAAAUUAUUGGAAUGAUAUAAGGAUUCAAAAAAUUAAAAUAUGGAAAUGUAUGAUGAAUGCACCGUGUUUAAUUGUCAAAAAAAAAAUUAUGAUAAUUUUUUUUAUUAUUUUCAAGUUGUUAAAAAACAUGUAGACUGGUGAAAAAAAAGGUAAUGGUUAAAAAAAAAAGAUAAACAGGUUAAAAAAGAUAAAUGGGUAAACAGGUAUUAAACGGUUACGGUUAAAUCUGUAUACGGUUAUGGAUAUGAGUAUAACAGUUUAGGCAAUUACCCAACGGAUAAAUGGUUAUACGGGUAUGAAUAUAAAUGGUUAUGGGUAAAUUAACCGCAGUUACCCGCCCCCAUAACAUUACCCAUCUCUAAUUACAACCUCGUUUUUAUGGACCCUUUGAGGUGAUAGCUAAAGUGGGACAUGUGGCUUAUAAACUGAAGCUUCCUGACAGUUCCAAACUGCAUCCAGUUUUCCAUGUUUCUUGUCUCAAAAAGCAUUUGGGUUCUCAGCAUAGCCCUACCACGCCACUUCCAAUCAUUACUGAGAAAGGAAUAUUACAGGACAUUCCAAUUGCCAUUCUAGACAGAAGGUUGGUGAAGAAGGGAAAUGCUGCAAUUACGGAAGUCUUCGUCCAAUGGCAGAAUCAUACUCCAGAAGACGCUACCUGGGAACCAUAUCCUGACUUGAAAUCGAAGUUUCCAGAAGUUGCUAAUCUCUAAGUCCUGUUCGAUGUACUGUUCAAUUUUUUUCCAGCUGCUUUGGAUUCACAUUUUACUGUUUUCUGCUGUAAUAAGUCAGUUUUCAAGGGGGGUAUUAUCAGGAUGCCACUUGUCAUCAUCUCAAUAGGACAAAUGUAAGGUUGAGAUGCUAUAAUAGUAGAUAAGAUGGUUGUAAGUUGUUAGAUGAUAGCUUACAGAGGAAGCUAAGUAGUUUACAUAUAAGAAAGUCGGUUGUAAUUGGGAGGAGGUCAUUGGAAUAAUCUCUGUGUAAUACAAGAAAGUACCAUGCAAUUGUGAAGAAGCCGAGCAAGGUUUUAACAAAGUAAAUCACAUCAAAAGUGAGAGAGCGACUCCGGAAACCAACUGCAUCCGUGUGCUUGCACUUCAAUGCAGAUACAAAACAAAACAUAAUCGUAAAGUUUUCGGACUAUCAUUAAACACUCAAGCAUAACAAAUAUUCACAAUCCAGCAAAUGGGUGUUCAUAAUUUCAAGCAGAACCACCAAAUAAUGCAUCCAUCUGCAUCUCCGUUGUAUCAUUACCCUGUACAAAGAAAGUGGCUCGAAGUCCUGAGAAGCAACAUAACCAACAAUCACACCGCGGCAUUUGGGUGCUCCAUUAGAAAUGGUGGGACUACGACCAUGAAUCCUAGGUAUAUUACGUCUUGCUACAGUUAAAAGGGAUAAGUGCUCAAAAUCAAAUACAUAUUCGUGAUAUAACUUUGGCACUCUUAUUUCUGAUACAUAUUUGUGACUGAGCAGAUAAUCAUAGAUAAAAUCUUUAAAAAAAAAAAAUAUCACAAUUUCAACCCGAAAUUUCAAUGGCUCUGACGUCAACGUUCUUCAACUCCGCCUUCGGAACAGUGACACUUAGAACUCCAUUCUCCAUGGCAGCCUUAAUCUGAUCAACCUUUGCGUUCUCCGGAAGCUGAAACCUCCUCAAGAACUUGCCGCUGCUCCUCUCCACUCUGUACCACUUGUCGUUUUUAUCCUCCUCCUCCACGUUCCUCUCUCCGCUGAUCUUAAGCACCCUGUCGUCUUCCACCUCCACCUUCACCUCCUCUUUUUUCAGCCCCGGAACGUCCGCCUUGAACACAUGGGCUUCGGGGGUCUCCUUCCAGUCGACCCUAGUGUUCACAAAAGCCGAAUUCUCCCGAGAAAAUUCAGGAAAUGCGGAGAGUGAUGAGGAGGAAGGGAACGGGAAAUCCUUGAAAGGGUCCCACAGAUUGAGGGAGAAUGGGUCGAAGACGCUGCUGCUUCCUCGUCGGGAGUUGGGAAUUAGCGACAUUCUGAAAAACCGAUGGGGUUGGUUUGGAUGCAGAGAAAUUUGAGAAUUAUUACAGAAAUAUUGCUUUUGCUGGACUGAUUGCAAAAUUAGCGGAUUUGAUAUAUUUAUAAGGAACCGAAGAAUUUUCUAGAACAGACUUGAGGAUGAGGCUGGAAAUGUAUGUGUGAGUUUCUCGAACUUUCUAGGAUGCUUGAGAAUAAUUGGAACUUUCUUAGGACGCUUAAGAAUACUCCGACGUUUGUGUGAGUUACUCACACAACACGGUUGACUUCAUGAUGAUGAAUGGUGGACCCAAAAACCUAAGUGUGGGGGUUGUAUGGGCCAUUCGAUUUAAUCGGACAGUUAAAACUGAAGAUACUGUGCAAGUUAUUAUUUGGACUUAUUGAUAAAUAAUAAUAUUUACAUUAAAUUAACAAUAUCAACUAAAUAUCAAUAACAUUUAACAUCUCAUGAAGUAGCUUAUCUAAAGGUAAAGGGAGUUAUAGCCCAAACAAGCAAAUUACGUACCAACAGUUAAGUAAUAUGAUGGUCACUUAUUACUACAUUUUAAUGGUAUUUUUAGUUAUUUGUGAGUAAGAGGUCUUAGGUUCGAUUCUCAUCAAAAGCGAAUUUGAAUCAUAUUAUUGUUUAGGGUAAACUGUCAAUUUAGUUCCUGAAGUAUCACCUUAGUGAAAAUUAGCUUCCUAAACUAUUUUUUUCAGAAACAUUAGUCCCUGAAAUAUAAAAAUCUACCAAUUACAUCCCUAAUGUUAUAUUCGAAGCUACUAUAUUCAAUUUUUCGUCAAUUUAAGUUAUAUUACUUGCAUGCGAUACACAUUGGAGGGUAGAUUGGUAGUUUUUCAUAAAGAAAUAGUGUAUGGAGUUAACUUUGAAUGAGAAAUUAAUAAUGUACAAAAUAAUACAUAAAAUAUUAUAAAACACACAUAAAAGGAUCUAAGCCUAAAAAGAAAAAUCAUCCACAAAGCCCAGUCAGUAAGGUUCUAUACGCCAUAAGAUUGAAAUAAAGCAUUUUAUUGUGCACCAUAAGAUUGAAAUAAAGCACUUUGAAUGAGAAUGAUACCUUUUUUAUGGCUAAAUCACCGUGGUUUGGCAGGAAAAAAUGGCGAUUUAGCCAUCAAAAAAGGUACCAUUCUCUUCGUCUCGUCGAGAAGUAUGAUUUUCGUUUUUGAAUAACUUGAUUUCGUUGAGUAUUGAAUAAGUUAUGAACGUUUAAAGUUUACCCAGUUUCUGGCAAGUUUUCAAGUUUUCAAGUUUUCACUCGAACCAGUCAACUUUGAGGCUAUUUUUCGGCCAUCUCCGGCAAUAAUUGGGCUUUGAAAUAGGUAUAAUCCUAUUCUAUAAUUUCCUAUCUUCAAUUUGAUAUAUUAUGGGUCUAAUUUGGUUAAGAAACGAUUGAGUUACGAAGCUUUGAAAAUUGCCCAAACUUCCUCCGGGACACUUAACGGAGUUUUUAAUGGAAUGACCAAAAUGAUGGAUGGUGGAAAAUCUCAGGGACCACUUUUAUCGUUUUAGAAUCUCAGGGACCAAAGUGAUGAGUUAUGCAAAUCUCAUGGACCAUUUUGGCGAUUUACCCAAAAUUUAAUGAAGGUCUGACAUUGCAGAGAAUUCAUAAAUUAAUGUAUGACAUUGUAAUGUUUAAUACAUAAAGUAUGAAAUUGUAGUUCGACCCAUAGUUGAUGUAGUUUUGUAUAAUUUAUCUUCUUCUUUUUCAAAAUGUUGCUUAUCCCCAACUCUCAACAAGGCAACAACAUCUUCGACCAAUUCUCUCUCAACUUGUGUGACCCUUUCAAGGAUUUCCCAUUCCCUUCCUCCUCAUCAAUCUCUGCAUUCCCUGAUUUUUCUUGGGAAAAUCGGCUUUUAUGAACACUACAGUCGACUGGAAGGAGACCCCCGAAACCCACGUGUUCAAGACGGACAUUUUGGGGCUGAAGAAGGAUGAGGUGAAGGUGGAGGUGGAAGACAACAGGGUGCUUCAGAUCAGCGAAGAGAAUAACGUGGAGAAGGAGGACAAAAAACGACAAGUGACAUAGAGCGGUAAGGAGCAGAGUCAAGUUCUUGAGAAGAUUUCAGCUUCCGGAGAAUGCAAAGGUCAAUCAGAUUAAGGCUGCCAUGGAGAAUGGAGUUCUGAGUGCGAUCGUACCAAACACAGAGGUGAAGAAGCCUGACGUCAAAGCCGUUGAAAUCAAUGGUUAAUUAAUAGUGAAAUAAUAAGAUUAUGAAUGUUGUGUACUUAGGAAAUAAGAUUAUGAAAAGAGUGAUUUGUGUAAUUGUUUGUAAAAUAAUGACUUGUGCGUAGUUAAUUUGAUACAAAUUUGGAUUUACGCGUUUGAAAAUAAUAAAAUUUUUAAGUGAGGAUAAUCGGAAAACAGCUUUUGUAGUAAAAAUUUAGAUUUAAACUUUUUGGUAAAGUUCAUUAGGUUUCAUAUUCAAAUGUGAAAGUUAUAUUAUUUUUUUGUUACUUGUCAUUUCACUCUAUAUUUUUUCACGCGGUACCAUACCAUUGCCAAGCCCCUUUCUCACUUCUCCCUCUUCGUCUCUCUACACCUACAUCCCGUCUUCUCUCUCCUCUGUCUCACUUUCCAUGCGCAAAACAUUUUUGUGAGUUUUUAGAUUUUAAAGCUCUGAUUGGAUCAGUUUGAAUGAAAAGUUUUAACCAAGCUUCUAAAACUGGAGAAAGGAUUUCUAGGCAACAAAAGGCAAGACCCAUGGCGUACAAUUGAGAUUUUUUAAAAAAUGGCUUUGAGAUUUUGUUGGUUAGGAUGUCCUUCCCUCAAUUGUGAGCAGCUCUUAAUUUGCUUUCUUCGCAGGCAGGCGAAUUGGAUACAAUAGUAUGCUUUUGAAGGAGUUUCUUAAAAAAACACUUUCAAACAAAUUUGUAUAGAAUUUAUAUGCUACGACUAAUAGUAGCCCUACUAUUGUUCGAAAUAGAUUACCAAUUCUAAUUGUGAUGUUUGUACCGUAAAAUAAUGUGAUGCCUCGAACGAAUGAGGAUGGCUCAAGCCAUGUAUUGUGCCUUGAGAAUGUGGGGUUGGGAAGCAAUGCAUCCAAUUUUUCUUUCACUUUAUCCUUCUUCUUUUUUUGUUAAAGAAAGUACCAUAUGGUUCGCAAGCAAAGUAUCCAAAUCUUUUUCACUUUUUUCUUGAUAAAGAGUAAUACAAAAUGGGUUCGAAAGCAAUGCAUCCCAUUCUCUUUCCCUUUGUCUUUUUCUUGUUAAAAAAGAAUGAAAAUACCUUACUUCAGAAUCACCUCCUCUUGAGGUAAUGCUCGUUAAAUAUUUUUUUUUGCUUCUCUAUUUAUAUUGUUAGAGAACUCUUAUUAACCUUUCCCCAUUGAAGUUAUCUGCUCAUUGCAUAGCUGAGGUAACAUAAUAUGUCCUCCUUGUGCAUGAUACCAUUCAACAUUCAUAUUUUCUAGCAAAUUUGUGAAGUAAUAAUGUCAGUACCAAACACAUGAGUUGUUGUUGAAUAAGGCAUAGAUUUCAGAAUUUCACUUUUACUCUAGCGAACUGUUGCAUUGGGUUGAUUUACAAUACAGGUACGUAUGUACAUCUUGGAAACUUUAUUUCUUUUCAAUAUUUGUUGUUUUAGGUGUUUAUUUUUACCCAUGUGUGACUAAGAAACAAAAGUGUUGGUUUUACAAUAUAUUUUCUAGCAAAUUCGUGAAGUACCAGAUCCAGCAUCAGACAUAUUGUGUUGAACAAGGCAUAGAUUUCACAAUUUCUUUUUUUUCCCCUACCGGUUAGUUGCAUUUGGUUGAUUACAAUACAGGUACGUAUGUUCUUAGAAACUUCAUUUCUUUUCAAUAUUUGUUGUUUUAGGUGUUUGUACUAUAUGUUUAUGCAUUUUGAUGUUCAUCCACGUCAACUGAAAUUUGAGCUAAUCCCCCCCUUAUAAUCGGAUUUUUACUUUUCUCACUCAACACAAAAAGUUUGAAAUCACGUCUGCUAUAUGGUGGUGAAAUGUAAACUAUUAGAAAUUUGUAUGCUGAAAAAUAAUAAUGAGUAAAUAAAUAUACACAUGCACUGAAACAUCAAUUGAAAAUAUAACUUUACCCCUUGAAAUUCAAUUUUCUUUAACUAAAACUCAUCAUAGUAUAUUUUCCUAACAAAUACUCAUUGACUUUACCUCUUGAGAAAAAAAAGGGCCUUCGGGUUUUUUACAUAUAUAUAUUUUUUUUUCACUUCUUCUAUUUAUAUUGUUAGAAAGCUCUUAUUAACUCUUCCCCGUUGAAGUUAUCUGUUCAUAUAUUUGCAUUGCUGUGCAUCAUCUUUCCUCCUUGUGCAUGCUAACAUUCAACAUUCAAAUUUUCUUGCAAAUUCGUGAAGCACCUCUACCAGGACCAGACAUAUGAUUUGUUGCUGAACAAGGCAUAGAUUUCAAAAUUUUAAUUUUACUCUGUUGGACAGUUGCAUUGCGUUGAUUUACGAUACAGGUAUGUAGUACUUCUCGAAAACUCUAUUUUUGUCCAAUAUUUGUUGUUUUAGGCGUUUGUUUUUAUCCUGCUUGACUAAGAAACUAAAAUGUUAGUUUUACAAUCUAGUGCCCACCAGAUAUUCUAUUUCAGGAUCCAGCUCAACAAUUUUAUUGAUUAGAUUUUGACUUCACACAAUUUUUUAUUUUUAGAUGUUUAAAAUAUCCCUAGUAACUUAUGUCAGAUUAAAAACAAAUUUUAAUAUCAUGAUUUCAUUGCAUAUUAAUAAUAAAAGUAUAUGAUUCUAGGGUUUUCAUUUGUUUUAUUUUAUUUUUUUUCCUUUUUAAAUUCCUUAGUUGAUUUUCAAAUUUGCAUAAAUUAGGAUUUUUUUUUUUUGUUUAAUUUUUCCGUUUUCAAAAUAUGGGAGCAUUAGUUACCAACAAAAUAUAAGAAUGUUAUUUUUUUUUCAAAAUUAUUUAAUUAUAUUCUAUAUAAAUAUGGGUAAAUUAUUUUACUACACAUAUAUAAUAACAAUAAAAUGUGCUUAAUGUAUGUAAUAAUACAUGCAAAAUAAUUUACCUACAUAAAGGAUGUGAUUUGGUUCAAGUUUAUUUUACCUACAUUUCACAUAUAGAUAUGGGGAAAUUAUUUUAUGUAGAUUAAAGUACCUACUUAAAGAUGAAGAAUGUGAAUUGGUUCAGGAUUUAAUUUACAAUUAUUUACUAUAUAUAGAUAUAAGUAAGGGGAAUUUUGAUCUAGGUGCAACAUCCCUAGCAUUUAGACUUUUUUAUUAAACUAUUUUCUACAAUUUUGGUGCCACGUUUUCUAAAAUGUCCUAUGUUUGAAAUUCAAAAUUACAUGAAGUGCCAUUGAUCCACAAAUUUAUUCAAAAAGUAGCUCCGAAAUCUAGCCUUCUUCAAACCAAAUUUAUUAUUUUUAUUAAUCCAAAACAAAGACACAUAUUAUUAAGUUAUCAACCAAUGAUAUGUGCCAAAAAUUAAAACUAAAAUAACCAAAACUAAAAUAAAACGUACCAUAAACUAGAAUUAAACGUACCAACACUAAAACUAAACGUACCAAUCAACGAUAUAUACAAAAUAAUUCUCUCACUAAAAUGUAUACAUAAUAAUUUCAAAAUAUAAACAUCCACCAUUUUCAUUAUCUUGAAGGUAAAAUUAUAUUUUAAUUUUAGGAGAAAAAAAUAUUUUUUACGAAGAAAUUAUAACAAAGAGAUCAUUUGAUAGGCAUCAGGUGGGACUUUGUGGCAAGGUUUCAUAUGGUUUCGGGUUUGAACUACGUGAUGCUUAAGCCUUACGUAUGUGUCAUAGAGGAAAACUAACAAAGAUCUACACAAAACUCAAACAAAAUAUAAAGAUAGAGAAAAAAAUAGAUAAGUUUUAUGGCUGGGCUCAAAACUGUCAUAAAUAGUGGGCGAUGGAGGAAGGAGACUUGAAUUUUGAAAAGAACAAUGAGGGCUGCUGGAAAAAAAAAUAAUAAUAAAUAAAUAAAUAAAUAAAAACUAGAGGAGGUGUGGGGUCUAUGAUAAUGGGAUAAGGAUGAAUGAAAAAACAAUAAAACAAAAAUUUAAAGAAAUAAAAGAUUUGAAAAAACCCAAUAUAUCACGUUACUUGCUGUAUCAUGUAAGUUUGACAAUAAGUUUAGAAUAAUGUCGUUCAAAUUCGCUUUUGGCGAGAAUCGAACAUAAAAUCUCUAACUUACAAGUAAAUAGAAAUAUCACUAAACCGUAAUAGUAAGUGAUAAUACAACUUAGAUUUAAACAGGACAAAAAUAUAUGAUUAUUAAUGUUGUGUUGGGGUGCUUCUUUGGUUUAGGCAUCAGAGCACUGAGCGCGGGACUUACAAAAGCCACCAACAAGGAGAAGCAUUUCGGCCGUUGUCUUUGAUUUCAGAAGGAAAUGGAAAUUAUAAUUGCAAUUGCCUCAAAAAUUGGAGAGUCCUUGGUCACACCAAUAGGAACAGAGUUUGGCUAUUUGGUUAAUUACCAUUCCAACCUUGAAAGUCUUAGGGGUGAGAUAAAAAAGCUUUUUGACAAGAAAGAUGGAGUGCAGGGAUUGGUAGAUGCUGCCAAAAGGAACGGUGAAAUCAUCAAACCUGAUGUUCAGAGUUGGCUAAAGAAUGUGAACGACGACAUGGUCAAAAAAGUGUUGCAGUUUGAGGAUGAAAUUAACAAGAAAAGGCGAUGUGUGUAUCGAUGGAGCUUGAGUCGGAGAGCCUAUAAGAUUAAACAAGAAGUUCUUCAGCUCCAAAACGAAGGAAGAUUUGAAAAUGUGGCCCAUCCUGCACCUCCACCAGAGAUAUGGUCAACAUUUGAAAAUGUUUUUAAGGAUUUUAAGUCCAGAAUGGCAAACAUGAAUGAGGUGAUAGAGGGUUUGACGAGGGAAGAAGUACGACUGAUUGGGAUUUGUGGAAUGGGGGGUGUGGGUAAAACCACAAUGGUAAAAGAAAUCAUCACGAGAUUGGCAAAACUGAACCUGUUUGAUAAAAUUGUAAUGGCAACUGUGUCUCAAAGUCCAAGUAUUAGGACGAUCCAGUCGGAAAUUGCAGAAGAAAUAGGUUUGGAAUUGAAGGAGGAAUCCGAGUCCGGAAGAGCACGAAGGCUACAUGGGAGACUCAUGGAAAUAAAGAGGAUCCUGAUUGUAUUAGAUGAUGUCUGGGCAGAGCUUGAUUUUAAGGCUAUAGGACUCCCUUCUGGAGAUGCUCAUAAAGGGUGCAAAGUUUUGUUGACAUCACGAGAUUCGGACGUUUGCAACAGGAUGCGAAGUCAACAAAUUAUUGCAGUCCCGAUUUUAACAACAGAAGAAUCACAUGAGCUCUUUCGAGAAAUGGUGGGUGAAUCCUUUAAUGAUCCUGAUUUACGUUCCACUGCAAAAGAUGUAUUAAAGGAAUGUGGAGGUUUACCUAUUGCAAUUGUAACUGUUGGAAAAGCCCUAGAAAAGAAAAACAAACGUGAAUGGGAUGAUGCCCUUAAUCAGUUGCGAAAUUCUACCCCAGUGAACAUCCCUGGAGUGAAUGACAAAGUUUAUUCUAGCAUAAAAUGGAGUUAUGAUAGAUUGGAGAGUGAUGAAGCCAGGUUAUGUCUUUUACUUUGUUGUUUAUUUCCAGAAGACUAUGAUAUUCCAAUUGAAUAUUUGGUUCGAUAUGGGUGGGGUCGAGGAUAUUUUAGCAGCUGCGUUACUUUGGAAGAUGCAAGAAAUAGAGUGCAUUCUUUGGUUGGCCAACUAAAAAGAAGGUUUUUGUUGCUAGAUAGUGGCAAGAGUGAGGCUACAAAAAUGCAUGACGUAGUUCGUGAUGUUGCCAUAUGGAUUGCUUCAAGAGAUGCACAUGGAUUUUUGAUAAGAAGUGAUGCUGAAAAUAAAGGGUGGCCAAAUUUAGCUACAUAUGACCAUUACACUACAAUCUCACUUGUUGGCGAUUUGGAGAUUCAAGAUGGUUUGAAAUGCCCAAAACUUGAGCUUCUACAGACGAUGGAAGGACUUUUUUCAGAAGGUAGCAUGGACAACAUUUGUAAGGCGAUGAAAGAACUGAAGGUUUUAGCUUUGGUGCAAAUGAAAAACCGAGGCUCAUCAAGCUCACUAGGAUUACUGAAGAACCUGCGGACCUUGACCCUAAAUGGGUCUAAAUUUGAUGGCAUGUCUACUGAUGUUAUUGGGAGUUUGGAGAAUUUAGAAAUCCUCAGCUUUCGGGAUUGUGAUUCCAUGCGUGAGUUGCCGAGGGAAAUUGGACGACUUAAACAGUUGAGGUUGUUAGAUACGACAAACUGCAGGAAUCUUGAGGUGAUUCCACAUGGUAUCUUCUCCAACUUAUGUAGACUUGAAGAGUUGUAUAUGAUGGGUAGCUUUAAUAAAUGGGAAAUUGGAAGAGGAAGAGAAGAUAAGGGGAUGGCAAGUAUUUCUGAGGUGAUGUCUCUGUCCGAUCAUUUGAAGGUUCUAGCCAUAGAGAUUCCCAGUGUCAUCCACUUGUUGCCAAAAAACAUAGUCUUGAAAAGCCCAACAAUAAGAUUCGGUAUAUGCCCUGCAAGACGGACAGAAGCAACUUAUGCAUUCAAAGAAUGUUUGAGGACAACUUAUGCAUUCGAAAAUUGUUUGAUGAUUGAAGAAAGUGAUGCAAGGGAGUUGGAGGAGAGUCAAGCAGUUAGACUUUUGUUGAAAAAAUCUAAAAAAUUGUAUUUGUGGGAGGUUAAGAAUUUCUCUGUCCUCACUGAUUUAGACCAAGAAGGAUUUCAAGAUUUGAAAGAAUCUUUGGAUAUGUCCAAAUAUCGAGUAUCUUGCAAAUGGAACAAGUGGGUUUUUGACCAACCUAAGAGUCCUUCGAUUGCAAUUUUGUGGUGUCUUAAAAUACGCCUUUUCAUUAUCAGUAGCAAGAAACUUGGUAUAGCUCCAGAAAUUAAAUAUUAUUGGAUGCAAUCAAAUGGAAGAAAUUGUGUCGAAGCAGGGGAGGGAACAUGAGGGGGAAGCCGAUAUGAUAUCUUUCCAUAAUUUAACCAAUUUAACUCUCAAGGUUCUAGGGAGUUUGGUUGGUUUCUUCCAAGCCAACAAGCUACACUCCAACCAAGAGGUAUGUCCCACUCUCCAAUCUCUAUGAUAUGAAAUUUGAAAUUGUUUAACUGAUAAUGAUUUUUCUUUUUCAGGAAACAACGGCAAGGGUUGAGCAUCAAUCUGCAGGCAUAUUUGAAAAAGCAAUAUUUCCAUCAAAGUGCAUUUCAUGGUUUCCAAGUUUAGAAGAGGUAGAAUUGGAAGAUAUGAAUUUUGAAGGCGUGCUAUUUGAUCUGAAAAUCCAUGGCCAGACAACUCCAAUAUUUCCCCAGUUACGUAACUUGGAGAUAUGGGCUUGUUCGUUUACACACUGUGGAAAAACAUUCUGUCUGGAUUUCAGGGCUUCCAAAAUUUGAGAUAUUUGAUGAUAUUUAGUUGUUCUGGUCUAAAAUAUGUGUUCUCGCAUUUAAUUGCCCGAGAACUUUUGAAUCUUGAAGAGGUAAAGAUAAUUGGCUGUCCGGACAUGGAAACUAUAGUCAGAAUCACAGAGGAAAAUGAAGAAGAGGCGACAAAAUACAUGAUUUUGUUUCCGAAACUGAACACAUUUGAACUAGAAUACCUGCCUCGUCUCACAAGUCUUUGUCCAGAGGGAUUUACAUUUCUGUGCUCAUCCACAAAAAAUAUGCGCGUGAAAAUUUAAAGACAUUGGAUGCUGUAAUUCCACAAAGAAAGAAGUUGGAGAAUAACUUGAAGAAGGAUUCAACAAGUCGUGAUUUCAGCACUUCUCCAACACGUUCAUCGAAUUGGUGCCCUGCUGGAUGUGGAUGCGCACCAUACUCAAGACCAAACGCCCACCGCCCCAUUGAAAUAUUGCCACGUCCAAUUAAUUUGGAGGUAAGCUUUUAAAUUAGGUUCAAUUAACCUCCAUAAGUACAACUUUUAAUUAGUAUUGUAUCAUCUUGUUGAUCGUGUUUAAUUUUCCAGGUUACACCAACUAAUCUUGAGGACUCAAAUGAUGAUGAUAAUCUCGAAAGUCUUAUUGUACGUGAGUGUGUAAAUCAAUGGAAGUGAUUUUCCAACUCAAGGGACCGAAGCAUGAAGAAAAUAGUCACUCCGUUGAAGCAUUCAAUAAAUUGAGGUUCUUGAAGUUAUAUACAUUGCCAAGUUUAACGCGUGUUUGGGAAACGGAUAGUUCACAACCGAUGUUGACAGGAAGCAGCUUCGGAAACUUGAAAUCGCUGAAGGUCGGUUUUUGCAACCAGUUGAAAUACUUGUUUUCAUCGUCCACAGUCAAACUUCUUGUGAGUAUAGAGGACAUAGAAGUUGAAUUCUGUGAGAAGAUGGAAGAAAUCGUUGCCGCAGAAGAAGAAACUGAUGAAAUAAUUACGUUACCUAAAGUGAAGAUCAUGUGGCUUCGAAGUCUGCCAAAACUCAAGUAUUUUUGUGGUGAAGCUUAUACUUUGAAGUUGCCGUCUUUGGAGGUCUUGGUGGUUACUGACGUGCAAAACUUAAGCCUAUUCGCUCCAAAGCUUAUUGCCACACAUCCCCGAUUGCAAGUACGCACCGCGUUGGGAGUGGUUGAAUGGAAGGGGGACCUCAAUGCCACUCUAAGGAAUAUUUUACGUCACAAGGUAUGCUUUAAUAUAAGGUUUUUUUAAUUUCCAAUCAUUUAUGGCAACACCACAAAAAUUUUGACAACAAAUUUAGGCAAAGCAUAAUCAACAGUUCAGAUUUAGUUUGACGAAAGUGUAAUCAAAACUUAGUCAAAAACUAUAUACACACACACACACACAUAUAUAUAUAUAUAUCUGUAUAUAUGUAUGUGCGUAUGUGCACACUAGAGUGUAUUUAGAUAUGUUUUUCUUCUUUUGAAAACUCAAUUAUAUCUCAAGAAAACUUCUGUCUUUUAUUUCUAACACAGGAAGGGUGAAGAUGAUGAAAUCGACAGGGAGGACGAACACAAUUAAUUGAUCAAGCACAAAGGUUAACAUGUCUCCAUCUUCAACUUCUUCUAGGUUUAGUAAAAACUGCUAUUUUCGGAAACAAAUAUAUACAAUAAGCAUAACCGUUUCAACUUAUUUGAGUUUCAGUGAUUUCUAAUAUUCUCCAAUGCAUGCAGAACAACAAUUCAAAGAAGGUUGUGGCUUCAACAAUUCGUUUACUAUCUCAUAUGUACAAACCAAUAAAAUGUCAUUUGUUGCACCAGACUUUCAUUCCAAAAAUACUAUUUGUGUUGCUUAUUUUAUGCAUGUAUGAUAAAUUUCGAGUGCAAUUGUUACUGUUUGUAUCUAAGUUCGCAUUAUUAAUGUUUGUUUAUUUGCCCGAAGAAAUGAGAAAUGCUUAUGUAAAAAUAAAUGAAUUAAGAUUAAAACAAGAAAAACUUUACACUACUCAAACUUGCAAACACUCAAACUACAAGCAUUAUGAAUAAACACGGAAUCAGGCUACGCAAUUGCCUUCAUCAUAACAUGAUUUUGGCCCCCAUUUUUCUAAUUUCCUACCACAUUUUCACAUUCUUUCCAUGAAUUUUAUAAUACCUAUGCAAAAGAGUUCAAUCUAGGGGCUCCAAAAAUAUCACAGAUAGAACAAUUAACACAAAAAGGUCGUACCCAGUGCACAAGGCUUCCGCUUUACGCAGGGUGGGUCUGGGAGAGGUGAAUGUCGGCUAGCCUUACCCCCAUUUAUAAAGAGGCUGCUCCCAAGUCUCGAACCUGAAACCUACCGCUCUCAUGGGCGAAGGCACUUGCCAUCGCACCAAGUGCGACCUCUUAGAACAAUUAACACAAAUCAAAUAAAAAUUUGAAAUCAAGAAUCGAUCCCAAAACUGAAAGUUGAAAUUUUGGAAAAGAACUUACAUCGGAGGACAGCCCACCAGGACAGGAUCAUUUAUACCUCUUGGGUCAAGAAUACUGGCAGGAAAACCACGGUCACCGUUUCUUUGAUCUGAAAUUCAGGAAACUUGGCUACGAAUCUAUAGAAACUAACUUGGGAGUUGGAAAGAGGACGGAAAGAGGAGUCUGGAUAUGUAAUUUGACGGCCGUUGGUGACCGGUGGACGAAAAUAAACUUCAUGCGAAAACAAGACCAGAUUGAGGUAAGAAAGAAAAAUACAUAGGCAGAAAUAACAUGUCAGUCAGGCAAGACAAGUAAUUGCAACCAUAACACAACACAAUGAAGAAACAUACCAUGAGGAUUUUGAACAAACAUAAUGAAGUGUAACCAAGAGCAUACAAAUAUCAAAAAUAUAGAAAAGAAUGCUAUACAAUCACUAUAAGUGAUUUCAAAGGCCAUCUUCUAUUUCUGUUUCUGGGAAAAAGUCAUGUCGUCAAGAUAUCAUUCCAUUUCCUUACCAUGAUGAGUAAAAUGAAAUUUGAACUUGCUUGCUGUUCUUGCAUAUCUUCUCCUCAUCCUGGUUACCAACCCAGCAAGUCUUCACCAAUCCAUCUAUGAUGUAUGUACGUCAUUGUAAUAUCAUGUGAUGCAGCUUACUUACUACUAGAUUAUAUUUCCUGUAGCCUAAGUUUAGAUAUUUCCUUUGGAGAGGGUAUAGCGUGCAAGGUCCUAAGAACUUUACCAAAUUAUCAUCCUUCGAGUAUAGAAAAUCUUCCAAAUGUAUAAACGAAAUAAACUUGUGACGGAACCAAAGAAUGAAAAUGCUUCUCAUCAUUUACUAAUCCAUAUGCAUAAUUUAAACAUUUUCAACGUAGGAGCUCAAUUCUUGUAUACAGACACACUUCCUUUAGCUUGCAUUGGACCUCGCACUUUCCACUAAUGUAAAUGCCACAUCAAAAGUGAAAGAGCGACUCCGGAAACCAAUUACAUCCAUGUGCUUGCACUUCAAUGCAGAAACAGAAACAAAACAUAAUCCUAAAGUUUUCGGACUAUCAUUAAACACGCAAGCAUAACAAACAUUCACACAAUCCAGCAAAUGGGUGUUCAUAAUUUCAAGCAGAGACACCAAAAGUCAAAGAAAAUAAUAUAAAUUAAAUCUGAAAAUUUUUGUACUCAAGUAUCUCCCUUGAUCUUGAACUUAGUCUCAGCACAUUGCUUAUGAGCAGCACCCAAAUCCCCCUUGCAAGAACACCCCAAGUCAAUCGGGACCCAGAGGCAGGGUCGGUCGGUCCCACCACCUCCCUCCAAACCCAAGUCAUUCCUGCAAUUUCUCUCAACUUUUACUCAAAUGCACCACCUUCUUCACCUCCGAAACCCCACUCUCUCCACUGAACAACACUGGCUGUCGUCAGAGCCAUCUGAGUCCGACGACGCGCCACUGCCUCCGGUGGCCAAACGGCGGCGGUGGUGGAUUGUCUCGGGAGCUGACAUUCGUGAAACCCAGAAAGAGAAAUGGCGUGAAAUGGUGAAGUGUUAAAGUUGCGGCAUUCAGAGAUCAAACAUGGUGGGGUUAUAGAGCAGGUGGAGAUGUUUUUUCUCUAUCCUCAAUCAAAAUAUCAAUGUCUCCCUCCUCCCUCGAUCACUGUCUUUAUUUGUGUGUCAGUUUCGAGCAAUGGCUUUGCUGAACGAGAGAGGGAGAGGGGAAGGAGUUCCGAAGCAAAUUAUGAGGAGGGUGGUGGGGGCAGACUGCUCCGAUCACAGAUAUAUUUCAAGGAUCACAAUUAAAGACUUGCAAUCUUUUAAGGCUGCCAGUUGUGGGACACUCGCAGUCAGACACACACAGAUGGAGACAAAACACAAGCAAGACUUGUAAAAGACUUUGAAUUAGAAUUAGUAAAUUAGUGUGUGUAGGGGUGGCUCUGUAUGGGGUUCCAAACUGAAAAUGGAAUUUCGAAUCCCAAAUCGAAAAUUUUCAAAACGAGAAUUUGAAAACCAAUCUCAAAUCAAAAUUUCGGUAUUCCUAAUUUUCGGGAUUCACAAAAUGUUUUCGAUAUCAGGAUGGGUCGGGAUUGAAUUUUGGGUUUUGGGCUGAAAUUUGAGUUCAUCAUAACAUGAUUUUGGCCCCAUUUUCUAAUUUCCUACCAUAUUUUCACAUUCUUUCCAUGAAUUUUAUAAUACCUAUGCAAAAGAGUUCAUUCAUUGCUAUUUCAAAACAAUACAAGGUUCUACAGAGUUCAAUCCCACAUCAUGUUAUAGACAUGCUUCAUCUACAGAGUGCAAUACCAGAAGUCUCAUCUCCGACAUUCAUACAGAAUAUCGAAUAAAAAUUCGAAAUCCAAAAUCAAUCCCAAAAUUGAAAGUUGAGAUUUUAGAAAAAUAACUUACAUUGGAGAACAGCCCACGAGAAGAGGAUCAUUUCUACCACUUGGGUCGAGCUCCAAUUCCGGCGAUAUGGCCGGAAGUUGGCCGGAAAACCCUGGGUCACCGUUUCUUAAAUUUGAAGUUGAGGAAAAUCGCCUACGAAUUUAUAGAAACUAACUUGGGGAUUGGAUAAAGGACGGUAAGAGCAUUCUGGAUGUGUCGUUUGAGAGCCUUUGGUGACCCGUGGACGACAGAGCUGUUGCGCCGGCACUCGGCAGUCGUCGGCUUGCUGUUUAAUGGGGCUCCUGUUGCGGCUCAAAAGAUGAGGAGGAGAGAGGAUACGGGAGGAGAGAUGGGUUUCUCCCACUUUUUACAUCUUAAUUCUUUUCUUAUUCUUUUAAUCUUUUCCGUAUUUUUUUUAGGAUGAUUUUAAAUGCGGUACUUAACUAUAAAUAUUCUUUGAUUAAAACCUUGUUGGUUUUCAAUUUUUGAUCUAAGCCCUUGAAAUUAAUGUGAUAAUUUAUUUUUAUGUACGUUACUAUAUUUUUUAAAAUAAAAAAUGGAAAUUUAUAGUUGUUUAUAUUAAUGACAUUUUAAAUAAAAAACCAUAAUUUGUGGGAUUAAAAAUAUUAAAAUAUAAACAUACUAUUAUGUGUGUGUGUACAAACAUGGGUACAUUCAUAAAAAAUUAACCAACAAAUUAGUGUAUCAAAACAUGGGUACAUUCUUCAAAAUCAUAAAAAAAAAUAAUAAUAAGAUAUUAGGCUUGAUAAAAUUAGUAAAUUUAUUUGAUUAAACUUAACAUGGAUACAUUCUCAAAUCAAAGAAAAAAAAAAUGUACCCAUAUAAGUUUAAAAAUGGAUUAGAAAAAUAAAUAUUGAAUAUAUUUUAUAUAAAAAAAAUGGUAAAUUUUACAUAUAACAAAUUGGUAUAUUUAAGAAUGAGUACAUUUUAAGAUUAAAAAUUUGAAAAAAAAUUACAUGAAUGGUACAUAUAAUUAGCAUGGGUACAUUUAGCAAAAUUAAAAAUGGGUACAAAUAAAUAAAAAAAUAUGGGUACAAAUACAAAUAAAACUUUAUAAAAUAUGGGCACAAAAAAAAAUAUAUGGGUAUAAAUUAAAACUGAAAAGAAAAUUGAUAAAAAUUAAGAAAAGGUUGGAAAUUAAAAAAUGGUACAAACUAAAUAUAAAAAUAUAUGAUAAAAAAUUUAGCCAUAAAUAUAAAUAUAUUAAUUGUAACGUUUUUAACAUUAAGUGAAUAUAUUUAGAAAUAAAAAAUAUUUUAUUAUUGAAAUAAUUAAUGAUGUUAUUAAUACCAAGGACCUUGAUAAAAAAAUGAAAAGGAAUAAGAUCAAAGGAGUAGGAAAAAAAAGGAUGAGAACCUAAUUUCUCAUUUUUUAUAUAGAAUAUACGAUAUAAUCUAUCACCAAAAUUGAUUUUGGUAUGUGAGAUGAGAUGGAAUACGUUUUAAUGAUAAUUGUGACUAGAAGUAAUAUAAUUCAAAUUCGUAUUUGAUGAUAAUUGAAUAUAAAAUUUUUCACUUACAAAUUACAAAUAAAAAAAAAUACCAUUAAUUUUACUUUUAAUACACAUCUAAAUAAAAAGAAACAAAAUGAAAAGAAAAAUAAAUAAAAUAAUUUGAAAUAGAAAUGAAAAAUAAAGGUAAACUGACAGAGCCCACCAUGAUUUGCUGGAUUUUGCAAUAUGGCAUCCAUGAUUUGCGGAGCCCACCGUCGCAAAGAAGAAGAAUUUGGAAAGCUCAAUCCUUGUCUUUUUCUUAUAUAAGUGUCGUUUUAAUGAACCGAAUGUUCCGAUUCCAGCAUCCAAAAUACCCCAAUGUGAAUUUUUUUCAUACUACAAUUGGAUUUUAUCUUAAAAUUAUGAAGUUUUGGAGCAUUGGUCACGCCAUCAAGCUCCUUUGUGUUGGAUUUCGUUAGAGAUCGUAAUUAAUCAAUCACCCAUUUUGUGUCUCCCUCCAAAACAUUAAAUUGAAACUUGAACUCCGUAGCAAAUAAGAGCCCAAUUUGACAACCAAAAUCUUCAUCAUUCGAGCAUCAAUGUUCUCUUAAAUUCGUUGUGAGCAAACCACCAUGAAAUCUCCUUCACGUGCAUCUCAUAAAAAUAGAACGAUACAGAGAAGAUUAGUGUGACUCCUAAGCUAGGAUUACACGUAUGAAUCGCAAAAUAGUUCCUCCUCCACUCUUUGAUUCUCUCUUUUCACUGGCUAACAAUAUUUUACUCUACCUUUUCACUCCUAAGUAAGAAAUAACAUCUUUCUGAAAAUUUCACAUUUGACCUUAAUUUAUCUCUUUUGCACUAUUUGACUGAACGACACAAAUUUUGAUUGUCUAAAUAUUUAUAUCAAACUACAAAUAAUAUUGAUAUUAUAUAUUAAUAAUGUAACUGGAAUUGUAGUACCCAACAUAUCUAUCUUGAAAAAAAAUUUGUUGUCUAUGAAGUGGCCUACUCGACCCUCUCUUGUACUCUUAAGUCUUGUCCAUUUUGAGUUUGUGUAAAUAGAUCAUUGUUAACAAUUGGCAUUCAGUAUUGUGAUUUAGUGGUAUUCAUCAUCACUUGUAAGAAAAAAAAAUUGGAGUGACGAGUUUGUGUAAUCAUUGUAUUAAAGAAAAAAAAAUUUUUAAAAAAAAAAAUUUUGGUCGGACAAAAACACGAAAAUGCCCUUAAAGCCCAGAGUGCCCCCACUACCCUACCCGCUGCCUGCAAGUUCUUUCCUCGCCUCUGUUUCCCUCGCUUUCUCCCUCUCAGACAUUUGAGGACUCAAAACCUCUUUUAACCCUCUCCUUCUCACUCUCAAAUGUCACCCUUUCUCACUCAUACGCACGCCCAGUGAUCUCUGAAGCACCAAUUUCUCUUCCCUUUGGCUCUCUGCAUCUCACCAGAGGUAAAAAGCCCCUGUUUUAUUUUAUUUUAUUUUAUUUUUUACUUUUUCCUCUGUAAAUUUAAUCCAAUGGAUUUUUCGUGUACCCUUGCAGUAAUACAGGAAGAAUUUUGUAGUAUUUCUGGUUGUUGGAUGAUACUGGAAUAAUUAUUGGGAUUUUGAAGAAUUUCUGGUUCGUAUGAUAUAUUUGCUAAAAGACCCAAAAUUUUGAAGCAGAGCGGCCAUGGAAAGGUGUUUGAAAAGAAAAUCAUAUGAUGAGUCAAUGGAGUCGUCAUCGUCUCCGAAGGAGAAGGACAAAAGCUCGAAACAAGCUUGCAUCGAAAUCAACUUGGAAGAUCUUCCUGUUGAUCCCUUGCUGCGCACUCGAAUUUGGGAUUAGCAUCCAAAUGUUCGAGUUCGAGAGCAAGUUCGAGGAGUACGUAUACAAAAAGGUCAUUUUCAGACUUCAUACCAGGACUUCCCCCACAAGAAUACUAGUGGGGGACCGAGAAGGUUUAUAUCUGCUUGGUUUAUGAGUUUCCGACUGGUUGGAAGAUAGUAUAGUGAAAGAUGCUUCAUGUUGUCUAUGCUGUUAUCUGUUUAAGCUAAAUACAGGAGAGCAAGCCCGCGGUGAUUGCUUUGUUAGUAAAGGGUUUUGGAAUUGGAAGAAGGAAAGGUUGCAUGGUCAUGUUGGAGGACGGAAUAGCACCAAAAGAAUGUAAAACUAUAUUGGGUGUAUCAAUUGUUUGUAUGAGGUUUAUUUUGCAUCAAGGGCUUGUAUAUUGCGGAGACGAUGAAUAUGAAGGUUCAAACAAUGAAGGAGUUUUUCUUGGACUCUGGAAUUACCAAUGUGGUCGCCACGAAGAGUUAAAAGCUGUCACAUUGAGAAAUCCUCCAUUAGGUCUGAAGUUGGCUUCACCUGAUACUCAGAAGGACAUCAUAAUUGCUUUUUCAAUGGAAAUAUCAAUGCAAUCGUUAAAGAUAUUGGUGGUUCGCACUUUUCCAUUCUUAUCGAUGAGCGUCAUGACUUGUCUUCAAUGAAGCAAUGGACUAUUGUAAUACGUUUUGUGGAUAAAGGUCAAGUGAUUGAGCCUUUUUUAUGCAUUGUACAAGCCACUGAUAAUACUGCUGACUCACUUAAGGUGGCUAUUGAUGAUUUCUUUUCUACCCAUGGAUUAAGCAUGUCAAAGCUAGGGGACAAGUAAUAUGCUUGGUGAGUUGAAUAGUAUUAAGACACUUACAAAUUACAAUGAAGGAGAAUGAGUGCAUUUUACGUUCGUUACUUUACUCACGGCAGCGGGAGACACGAAUUUUGCUCUAUUUACGAGCUUGCCACCGGGCUGAUUUCAGCCCAAAUUUCGCUUUAUUUACAAGAUUGCCACUGGGCUUAAGAACGGGUUUUCAGUCUUUCGGUUGGAUCCGGGCUUUUGACUCGGGGAGAGAGAGGGAAGGGGGCAGAAGGGUUGACGGGUUGGAUGGAGAGGUUCGCCAGGAUUUGGGGGAGAGGAUUUUCGGCAGGGAGGUGCGGGUGGGUGUGCCUGUGGCUGAUGCAUCGGUCAGAGGGUUGUUGGUGGAGGAGAGGAGGGGGACAGAGUGAUUGACAGAUUGGAGAGAGAUGGGAGCUACGGGUUUCGACUGAGAGAGAGAGAUUUAGCUAGGUCAUCUGCCAGGACCUAUGGCAUUUUCUCCAAUUUUAGAGAGAGAGAUGGACAGAGAGAGAGAGGAGAAAGCAUGGCUGUGUGCAUUUUUUGGGGUUAAUGGGUUACCGCACAGGGUCGGUGAGGAGAGAAUGGCAGAGGGAGGGAAUGUUGUCAUCCCCUUUUCAUUCCCUCUUUUUCUCUCCCUACUCUAUCUCUGUAACCAUCCCUCCCUUUUCUCACUCUAUAAUUUCCCUCAAAUCCCCCGUCGAUUCUCUCUCUCGCCAUUCUCAGUCUCGCCAGCCGCGAAUCCUUACAGCUCCAUGCUCCGCCUCCAGAUUCGUCGAGAUGAGAGCCCCAAGACCGUCGCCUGCACCACCGUCUCAGAAAAGUGAGCCAAAAUCUCGCGAGAAUCAGGCUGCACACGAGCGGAUCUAAAGGCCAAACCUCCGAUCUUGAAGGUAAAAAUUUCUCAUCCUCUCUCUUCGAUUUCAUAUAUGUUGUUAGAUUAAAAGGGAAAAUAUGAGAACUAACUCAAGCAAAUGUUCUGGAUGUAAGCUAAAAGAUCAAUUUAACUUUUCUUCCCUGUCAAUUUAGUGCUUUUUUCUUUUCUUAUUACUUUUAGGAGUUAAUUUUUGAGAUAUAUUAUGACUAACAAAUUUACUGUUGCCUCUGUCAUCUUUUUUGCUGAAGAUUUCUUUUUUGAAAACUGUUGCCGUGACAAAAUAAAUUUACAAAUUGCUAAUUUUUCUGUUUUGUAUAAAAAAAAAAUCUUUGUUCACUCUACCUGAAUAGGUACACUUGACUGAGAAGGAAAGUCUUUUCAUAUUAAAUCCAUGUUAGCCUGGCCGCUGCCGCCCUGGAACCAUCGCUCUUCGGUAAGUUUUCAACAUAGUAUAGUUCAAAUCCUCUUAAUCAUGUUCUUGAAUUUUACUAUAUGUAUCAUGUUCUUUGCAUUUCAUUAUUUGAACUCUGUUAUUUGAAUUUGGUUACCUAAAUCGUGCCUAAUAUUUGAUGCGGCCAGUUGCUUUGUAUGCCUGGCUGGUGUGAUUUGGGAGUGUUUUUAGUCAAUGGGAGACAUAGGACAAAGGUGUGGGCAGCGAAGUCAAGUGGGAUUAGGAAUUUAGGAUAGUAGAAUUUUUGCUAAUUUAUGGGAUUAGAAGUCUUCCUUUAUUUUUGUCUUGGUGUGAUCAAUUGUAACCAAGAAGUUUCAUUAAAAUUGAGGUAGUGAACCAACUAAUUUUCAACUGUUGUUUAUCUACAGUCUUCUCCAUUCUCUUGGUCUUGGACCAAGCAUGAAAUCCCAAGCACUAUAUCACCAUAAAGCAAGCAAGCUGAAAAGCAAUCCAACAAACCCUUUUUCCAGAAGCACUUAACAGAACCUUUCUAUGGGUUAAUUGUUGUUUCAAUUAUACCAGAUUGAAAACGAGUAUGGAACCAUCAAGCAUACGGGGCCGUUGUCCAAACCUAUAUUAAGUGGGCAGCAAGCAUGACUGUUUGUCUCUAAAUACAGGGUGCCCUGGGUCAUGUGGCAACAAAAAGAUGCUCCUGCAUCCGUAGUGAGGCUUUUGUAGUCAGUUUUCAUUUGCAUUGUAUUGACUUUGACCUUUUUGAUCAAAGUCCAAUAGCAAUAGGUGCAGUAAUUCUCAAACCCUAAUUUUAACUGUUUGGAUCAAUUGCGUUUUUUUUAAAAAAAAAAAAUUGCGUUGCUUCUACUAGCUAUAUAUUGAUGGGUUUCGGAGUGUUUUUUGUUUUGUGACUGGAUUUUGCUGUGUCGGAUUAGUUUGGUUUGCUAACUUAUGUUAUUUUUUAUGGGUUUGGUUAACAUGGUUUUCAUUCCUUUUCAGAUUUGUUUCGACACACACUACUCGAAAUUUGCAGGAUGCUAUGGUGAUAUUUUCUACGAUCUAAACAAAUUAACUAUUUAAUGUUAGUAGUUUGUGUUAUAUAAAGCUACGCAUGUUAGGAGUAAAGUAAUUUAUUAUUUGUUCUUAGCCCUUGGUUUAUAAAUCCCAACUUUAAAAUUCCAAGUAGAUGUGUCUGUUAAUCGAUUGCAUUUGGGAUGGAAAUGGUUUUGAAUGAUUUGGAUUUUCAUUAAUUUUAAUUCAUCUGCUAAUCAUAGUUUCAUGUAUUAGAUAGUUGCUUUGCUCUCACAAAUUUUGUUGGUAGGGGUUCAGCAAAGCUUUCUAGGGCUAAAUCUUCAGUUUGCUGUUGGGUAUGUUUACUUUAUGCUUUUGUUUUUUGUUUUUUGUGUUUUUGUUUUUGUCUGGAGUAAAUAUGCUUAAGAUGUCACAUGAUUAAAGGUGGAGAAAUCACCGUCCCUUUUUUCGUAGAAAUUUGUAAUUUUUUUUAAAAAUAUGUGUGGGUUGCUGAAACUAAUUAUUUGAUCAGUGUGAUUUUUUGUAAUUGGGAAUUUAGGACCUUGGUAACUUGAUUGAAUAGGAAUUUUGUGAUUAGGAAUUUGUGGGUUUACCUCCGAAUUUAAUCCCUUUCUUAAGAGGGAUCUAGCCGUAACACACAGCAGCAAUGGGGGAAGAGAAGCGGCACCAGGUUCGGCGAUCAAUCUGGAGAGGAAGAGGUCAAUUUUGAGCACAAGUCCAAUCCCCGGCCCAAUUCUGUAUGAUCAUCUAAUUUCAUGUUUCCUUUCUAUUCUGAUUCCAAAAGUAUGUUUCGGAAUGAUUAGGGUUUCAGUUUUUGUUUUAAUUUUUGAGCACAAGUCCAAUCCCCGGCCCAAUUCUGUAUGAUCAUCUAAUUUCAUGUUUCCUUUCUAUUCUGAUUCCAAAAGUAUGUUUCGGAAUGAUUAGGCUUUCAGUUUUUGUUUUAAUCUUAGUUGAAGGAAGAUAUAGGGUGUGGUUUUGUUAAUGGCGGUGGAUGAUUUGGAUGAAAGUAUGUAUCCUCGGGAUUUUUUUGCUUGCAGUUGUUUAGGCCAGGACUUGGUGCGAUGGCAAGUGCUUUCGCCCAUGAGCGGUAGGUCUCGGGUUCGAGACUUGGGAGCAGCCUCUCCAUAAAUGGGGGUAAGGCUAGCCGACAUUCACCUCUCUCAGACCCUACGUAAAGCGGGAGCCUUGUGCACUGGGUACGACCUUUAGUUGUUUAGGCCAGGACUGAAGAAGUUUUGUGGAAUGAGAUUCUUAUAUCGAAUUGUCUCUCUGUUUAUGGCAGGUAAUAAAGGUGGUCCAACUAGUAGCUGAUAAAAUGUCUUUAUAUAUAUGCUUUUGUUGAUUUCUGCUGCGAUAAUGAGGGAAUCUAGAGGAUCAAGGCCAGUCAAUCUGAGGUUUGUACUACUCUAUCCCUUUCUUUCUCUCUUUCUGUGAAUUUCUUGAAAUUGACGACGCACGUUCUGAUUCUUGCUGUGUUUGGGAGCGGAGAAAGCUCUGGAUUAGCUUUGAUCACUUGAAUUUUGUCUUAUUUAGUUCAGCACAGUCGGACUACAUAAUCCUACCAUUGGGCUAUUUCUAUAGAGGGUUUAUGUUGACUUUUGUUGGCCUGUUGACAGUCUGGUAGGUCUAUCAUAUUGAUGGAACUAAAUUGUGAGUUAGUUAUGGUUUAGAUUGUUGAAUUUUGAAUUCGCAAUUCCCUUUGAAACUGUCACAAGCGAUGUGUCUGUUGUGGCUACAGGAAUCAAAAGCGAGUGAAAGGUAAAGCUUUUCUCUCCAAGCAUUCAUCGCCAGAAAUUGUAGUACCUCUUUUAAAUUCAAAUUUUUAUUUAUUUGCAGAAUUGUAUAAUCCUUUUGAAGCAGUGGGGAGCCGCGGGUUCGCUCUCUCUCUCUCCCUCGUAUUUGGGUUUUUCUCCUAUUUCUCUUUUUUGUUGAUCUAAUUUGUGGUGAAGUUGUUGAGUUUGCUUGAAUUGGAACGUGGGUUUAAUUGAGUUUCCUUUUGUUUGUCAGUUCGAUUUUGGUAGGAUUGGCAUGUGGUUGUUCACGCCUUUACGGCCACUUUGUGUCUGGCAAAGGUAAUAAUAUUACUCUUCGUUCCAUAAGCUUCGUUUUUAAUGCCCAGAAAAAUUUGGAAUUGAGAACAUGAUGGGGUUUUAGGCAAUACCUAAGUUCUAUAAUUCUCCCCGUUUGUUGUUAUUAGUAAUUUCUUCGAUCAUGUUAGUUUGAUAGUGUUUUGCUGCCCAGAAUUUUUUUUGAAUUUAAAAUAUCAUGGGAUUGGGGUUUUAAAAUUUUAACAACAAUUGAUAUGAAUUUUGGUGAAUUUUGAUGCUCAAUGGACUUUGUUAACGGCUUCUAACUUUGUUAUGCUUUGGAAUAUUGGUGGGUUUUCAUCAAAUUUUGCUUAUAUCUUUGUGCGGUGUGUCUGUUGUAUUAUCUGGUCAUAGAUACCUUCGUUAAGUAAUUUGAGAAGCAUGGGGAGAUAAUAGACUAAUCAAAGAGAUGCAUGUGAUCAACGAUAAAUAGGUAAGCAUCAUCCUCUUCCUUGUUUUGUUAUGAUUGGUUGUAUAGAGGAUUGAGAAAAAAGUUGAAGACAAUUCCACGCUUUUGAGUUAUAGCAAUUAGUAAAUAUAAAAUGACAUUGAUUAGUUCAUUGAAGUUUUGAAUCCUUCGUUAGUUUAUCCGUGGUGCGUGCUUGAGAAUGAAAGCAAUGGACAUUAUAUGGAAUUGAUGUUCCUUUUAAUGUCAGUAAAGAAAGGAAUUGUUCCUUUAUUAGCAAUUAUAUGAAGUAGGCAUAUUAUGCAAUACAAUGUCUACAAUCGACUAUUUUACUUUUUGUACAAGUACAACUUUUGAUCGAAAGCCACAAAAACUACCUAAAGGCCAAAGAACCGUGUGUUAGAAGAACAGAAUAUGGUGUAAAGCUUAAAUUUUGGGCACUUCAAUAUAUGUUUUAUUUUUCAAUUACAAUAACUUGCAUGAAAAUUCAAUUGGGUUUGUUCUGGUCUCCAAAAAUUUUGCUUUGUUUGGUUACUGAUUAAUUUAUGUGGUGGGAGUUUAGUUUCUGCUUUUCUGCCUACGUAUUUAUGAUUCAAAAUGGACUGUUCAAUUACAUAUUUGUAAUCGAAAAGCUCGAAGGAGAGGUGAAUUAUCUUACCGACACUGUUCAUUUAUCUAUUCCUUUGUUCAUUCAUGAUUAUGUAGAAUUUUUGAGGUUAAAUGUGUCAUAUUCAUGUAGUUAAGGCUGGUGCAUUCAAGUCUCGCAGUAUCGCGCAGGCCAAUUUACUAGUGUAAUCGAAAAUCGAAAUCAAAACACGGAGAUUUUUACGGUUUUAAAAGGAUUUCGGUUUGAAUCUGAACCGUAGGAUGAAAAAACAGUUUGGUUUUGCUUUUGAACAUCUGAAAUCAAGCCGAAACUGAAUCACAUUGCCAAGAUACCUGAACGAAAAGGCCCCUACUAUUACUAUUACAUUGCCGAAACUAAAUCAAGCCGAAACUGAAUCACAUUGCCAAGAUAUCUGAAAUCUACACAGUUUGUGUCGUUGAUGCCGAGACAGGUGCUCAUGUGGGUCUGCCUCUAGUUGUUACAACAUCCUAGUUUGUAAAUGGUUUGAAACCGAAAUUAAAACCGUUUGAAACCGAACUAAAUCGCAACCAAAUGGUUUGGUUUUAUCUUGAUUGGUUCAAGCUUUAAAUUCACACCGAACUGAACUGGCAAAAAAUUCAGUUUCACUUUAAAACCGCACAGAACCAAACCGUGUCCAUCCCUAGUCUGCAUUGGAGGAAAACUGGGGAAAACCUCCCGGUAACCUCAACUCUGAUGGAGAAAAUGUAUUGGAGAUUGAAGAUUGUGAAUUCUUGUUUUUGUUUUUCUCCAUAAGAUUUCCAUACAAAAUUUCUAUACGAUUUUUGCCUUCUCUUGUAAUUUCAUUAUGACUACAUACUACAAAAAUAUCUCAUAAUUCAAUGGUACAAAUUCUAGGUGACCCUCCGACAGCCACGGAAACGACAACCCACUUCUGAGAUCGGAAGCUAGCGUAUGGAGACGGCGUGUCGGAGAUUGUCUUGACGGCGGAUUCGAGCUGUGGCAUCUGAAUCUUCUUGAAACCCGUAUCUGGCUGACUUGCAGAGCCACCAUCGCAAAGAAGAAAAUCUGAAAAGCUCAAACCUUAUCUUUUUCUCCUAUAACGAUGUUGUUUUAGUGAAUUGCUUUAAGUUUGUGUACUUUUAAGUUUUAUGUAGUAUGUAUACUUUUUUAUCAUUAUUAUUGUUUUUGGUCAAAUAAUAAAUUUUGUUAGAUUAGUCAUUGAUGGGUGAUUAGCUAUCAAUAAGUUUGGACUCAUACCGUCAUGCAAAAGUUUAACAUUUUUCUACCAUUAUGAUAAAGUGGUUAAUCACACCGAUGAAUGAUUAGUCACAGAUGAAUUCGGACUCAAUCUAUCAUACAAAGAUUUAAGCGCCUAUUUGGUAUUCUAUUUGAAAAUUUUUAUUAUUUCUCAAAACAUUUCUUAAGAACAUUUCUUGAAAACAAUUUUCUUUAAGACUCAAAAACUUGAUUGGUUUGCGAUUUAAAAUUUUUAAAUCUUAUGACUUAAACUAGACAAAGAGAUUUAAAAAUAGGGGUCGCAGAAGAGGAAGAAAAAGGAGAGAGAAGGAAAGAAAGUACGAGAGGAGUGAAGGAAAGAGAAAGAAGAGAGAGGAUUGGACGAGAUAGUGAGGAAGAGGAGUGAGAGAAAGAAUCGAGAGAAUAAAAAGAGCAGAUUGGAGGAGAGACGAAAAAGGUUAAAAAAAAAGAGAGAAAGAAGAAAAGAGAGAGAGAUAGGUUUGGAGUGAGAGAGGAGGAGGGAGAAAAAAGAAAUGAGUGAGUUUAAGUUUAAAAACUCUAAAAACUCACUUUUUAUGUUUUUAGAGAAUAUACUAUAUUUUUGAGUUAGUCUUGAGUUCAGUUUUUGAAAAUAGUCCUACCAAACAAGUUUUUAAGGCAUAAAAUUUGAAAAUUGUUUUUUAGUUUAAAAAGUUGUAUUCAAAUAAAGUACCAAACAUACCGUAACAUUUUUUAUUAUUGUGAUAAAGAAGCACUUGCUACCCAUGCGAGCUGGUUGGAUAUGAAUCAGGAGUCUCUCCUGAGCACUUCCCUAGGGAUCCCGCAAUCAUACCCGUUCAUCGUAUAUCGUGCGGUCAGAAAUGAUUUAAAAUUAAAAUUUUAAAAUUCAAAUAUGAAUAGUACCUAACGAAAACUGACCGCACGAUAUAAAAUGAACGGAUAAGAUUGCGGGAUCCCUAGGGAAGUGCUCAGAAGAGACUCCUGAUUCGUUGGAUAUAUACAAAAGGGUCCUUUCAGCCUUGGUGCCAGACAAAGAAAACAUGGAAAGUAAAGAAGAGAAAAAAGAAAAAAAAAAAAGGAAAAGAAGGUGAUGGUGGAAUUGCAGAAAGAAAUGAAGGAAAAGGAAAGGGGGAGUCCACGUGAAGAAAAGGCAGAAGAAAGACGAAAGAAAACAAAGAGAAAAAAAGAUGAAUGAGGAUCUUCGUCGAAUUCUCCUUGUAAAAAUUUUAAAGAUUAUUUAAUCAUAUCUAUUUAUCGUAUAUAUGUUAGAAAUUAUUUAAAUUUUUGUAUUUAAGCUUGAAUAUAAACAGUACUUAACAAAAAUUAAUCGCGCAAUAUAUUAUAAACGAAUAUAAUUAAAGAAUUCUUAAAAUUCUUAGAAAAAAAAUUCCGACCAGGAUCUUCUUUCAAAGUAAAAGUUGAGACAGAAAAGAAAAAGAAAGAGGUCAAAGAAAGAGAAAAAACAAAGAAAAUGGUGGUGCCUGACAUGCAAUACAGAAGUAGAAAAGUGAUGAGAUUGUGGCAGACAAAUAAAAAAAAUGUGAAGAAAAAGUGGAAGAAAAUGAAAAAAGUGUUGUUUGCUAUCUCUACGGCUGUGGGCUCUUUUUUGGCUGCGAACGUUAAUUUGGGUGUGUCCCGGUCGGGGGGAUCUGGUGGGGUGGACCAUAUUUCGCGGUGGUGUGCUCCUUCCUCUCCUCUUAUCAAGAUAAAUGUUGAUGCCAGUUGGUCUAAGGUCUCUAAGAUGGGAUUUGCUGGGGUGGUUAUUCGGGCUGCGGAGGGGAGGUUUGUUGCCGCUGCAAGGUACCCUAUUUCUGCUCCCUCAGCUGCUGCAGUUGAGGCUCUUGCUUUGCUUCAUGGCUGUGAAUUGGGUGCAGCUUUGGGUAUCCAUGCUCUGAUUAUUGAAUCUGAUUCUCUUGAUGUUGUUAAUUGUCUUUCUGAUUCUCUUGAGAUGGGCAGUUGGGAGUCUUUCCCUGUGUUAGCUCGGGUCAAGCAGCUUGGGGAGGCUUUCCAGUUCUCUCGCUGGUCUUGGAUUCCUCGAUCAGCAAAUAGUGUGGCGCAUGAGCUGGCGUCGGUUGGUUUUCCGAAGAUGAGUGAGUUUGUCUGGGUCGAGAGGCCUCCAUCUUCGUUGGUCUUUGUCUUGAACAAUAACGGGCUCCCGUGUCCUCAUUGACUCCUAUUGGUGGUGUUUGGGGUGACGUCUCCACUUGGUGGCGAUGUCUCUAUUGUAUCCCCGUUCACUACUUGUUUUCCUGAUCUUUGUUUGCCUCUCUGUAGGCUUUCUUGUUCUUUGGCUUUUUUUCCUUGCUGAUAAAAAAAAUGAAAAAAGGAAUGGAAUGAAAGUGGGGAGUGUGGAGAUUAGGAUGUUCCUCGAAAUGAGGGUUUCGUCUAUCCACCGGAGGGGUUCCGUCUAGAUCUCUGGAAGGGUUUCGCCUGUCCAGGCUCUCCCGUCUCGUGUUGGGGCUGUGAUUCUGGAUUCUUGGUACCCCUGUUAGGUGAGUAGUUGGGAGGUGAGUUCAGGAGGUCUGGAAGUGUGAAUUUAGGGGAUCUUUGGCGGGAUCUAGGGUUUCCAGGGGGUAGGCGGAGAUCUCAAGGGGGUUCGUCUGCCUCGGAUCUGGUCCUUCCGGUGCUGGGUCGGUGAAUCUCGGUAUCCUUGUUCGGCGAGCAUGUGGGUGGAACGGCGGAGACAUCGAGGGGGUUUGUCUGCUUCGGCUCUGCUUCUUCUCGUGGUGGGCGGUGUAUCUCGGGUCCUUGCUCGGUGAGCAGGUGGGAGGAGAGCUCAGGCAUUUGGGAAAUAGAUUGUUAGGAUUUUCGGGCGGGAUCUAGGGCUAUCAGGGUAUUGGUGGGUCUAGCUCUGGGGGGUGCUCCUAGUCUCUGGUGUUCGGGAUUGGACUCCUGGUGGGGGAUUGGCCUCGCCCGGGAAAGAAGGGGAAUGUGUGAUCAUGGGUGAGGAUAAACCCAAGAAGGACCUAGAGGAUCUGGGCUCUUGGUUUGGGGCAAAGCUGAAACUGUCCGAGAAAGAGCUUGGCGGAAUAUGUAUUCAGAGGAAAGAUGUAGAGGGUGCUCUAGUGGGACUCCAAUACACUCUGAUUGCAGAAGUUCUUACCUCGAAAGAGGUAAAUGGGGAAGUUUUCAUAGAUUGUUUCAUGUCUCUGUGGCGAGGGAGGGAAGGCGUUUCUAUCAGGGACAUUGGUGACCGGAGAUUCCUAACGAGAUUUGCCGGUCAAAGGGAUCUUCAACGAGUGGUAGAUGCAGAUCAACCGUGGCACUUUAAAAAUGAUAUAGUCAUGGUUGCGGAGUGGACGAACAGUGGGCUCAACAGAUGGGCUUCUCUCUCAUCAGGAACGUUCUGGGUGCAGAUUCAUAAUGUUCCUGUUCUAAGCAUGACUCAAGCGGGGGCGGAAUCCAUUGGAGGCCUAAUCGGGACGGUUAAAUCGGUGGAUAAAUCCGGCAGUAGAGACUGCAUUUGAAGAUUUCUUCGUGUAAAAAUUCUUUUCAAUGUAUGUGAAUCCCUUAUGCGAGGUACUUUUGUUAAUUUCCCUGAUGAAGGCAGAGUGUGGGUUGAUUUUAAAUACGAAGGGCUUCCUAAAUACUGCCUCAUAUGUGGUCUAUUGGGACAUGCUACUCGUGUGUGCAAAGGCUCCCAGGAGCUAGGGAUGAUUGAAGGGGAAACCUCUGAAGAGUUGGGGGAGAGGUUUGUGUUUAAGGGAUUGGAUGCAUUUACGGAUCUGAGGGGUAAAUUAUUAGGCGCGGGGGGCAGUACUAGGACUCCUCGAGGGUCUAGAAAAGGACGAAAGGAUACGGGAAGAUGGAAAGACGAUCGUAAUGAGGAACAAGAUGGAGGAAAACGAUCGGGCCGAUCAUCCACAACCUCGGGCAUGGGAAGUCACUCACAACUGGGGGCCUCGAGAUCGUUCAGUGGGAGUGACUAUACGGACACGAUUCUCGCGGAAGAGGUUGACACUGCCAUAUCACCAAACAAACCCCGCUGGUCUACAAGCAGACUGAAUAAAGAGAGACUUAACCUAGCUGACAAAAUUCGUCACCAACGUCAGGAGGAAGAUGAUGCAAGAAAGGCUAGAGAAUUAGCUUUCGAUGCAGGACUAAUUGGUCCAGGAGGAGUGAUUGCGGAAGGUGCGGAAAACGUUAUUCUCCACGAAAUCCUUGAACAGGAGAUCUAUGGGAACUUGACCGGGGUGUCAACUGCAACAGGGCAGAGGUUUGACUUGAAUAAUGCUCCAUUCAUUAUGGAGGGAAUUGGUGAUGGAAUUCUAGACAAUGGAGAGGAGGUGGGAAGGCUGAUGAGUGUAGACGGUGCUGCUGAGAAUGGAAUUAGUACGGAGGAUGACCCAUUUCAACUGGGUCCUAUCAUUCAGGCAAUAACUAUGGAACAGAAAGGGAGAAAACGAAACAUUCAGGAAAUGACGCUCUCAUCGACUACUACUACAGAGGAGCCACUAGCUACCAGACCGAGGAAGGGGUGUUUCUUUAAAGAGGCGGAGGAGACCAGCCGUAAGGGGUCCCCCACACAUCCAUGAAGAUAAUCACGUGGAACUGUCAGGGUAUCAAGGGUGACCUGACAGUUGACAACCUGCUGGAGCAGAACCGGCUUCACACCCCUGACAUGGUUAUUCUGCUGGAAACUAAGAAUAAAAGUAGGAGUUUUGCCCAUCUGAAAAGGAGACUGGGUAUGGAACACUGGUUCGUUGUUGAGCCUCGCGGCAUUGGAGGUGGCUUAUGUGUUUUCUGGAGAGAUGCGACCUCUGUGGUGUUAAUGAAAUCGGAGGACUUUUUGGUGGAACUCAAAUUGUGGGAUGAGAAGAUGAACUGUAACCGGAUGUUAUUCGCUAUUUAUGCUAGUACGGAUGAUAAGAAGAGAAGGGAGCAAUGGAAAGAAGUUUCUAAGCGUAUUGGACAAGAACGGGACCGCUGCCUCCUCCUAGGAGAUUUCAAUGAUAUUCUUUGUAACGAAGAGAAGGAGGGAGGGAAUUACAGACCGGCUGCUAGUCUACGUGACUUUAGAGAUUUUGUGGCUCGUGACGAACUUAUGGAUCUGGGCUAUGAAGGUUACCCCUUUACCUGGAGAAAUAAAAGAGAGUCCCUGCCUAUUCAGCAACGCCUUGACCGUGGGUUGGCGACCUUAGGAUGGUAUGAAAUGUACCCCAACACAAUAAUCAAGCAUGUGAUAUUGGAAGGAUCGGAUCACGCUCUUUUGAUUCUCUCAACUGAUAAAGGUCCAAAAUGGAAGGGAAAGCAAUUCUCAUUCGAUGGGCGUUGAAGCAAGUCGGAAGAGUGUCGUAAUUUGGUUGGGGAAGAUUGGAGACUUCAGAUUUAUGGCUCACAUGCGUACCGCUUUUGUGAAAAAUUGAAAUAUCUUAGAAGAAGUUUAAAAGCCUGGUACAAAGGAAGAGGAAAGAACUCGUUGAAACUGAUUCAGCAUCUGAAAGAAGAGAUAAGGGCGGCCUACGAAACUAAUGAGUUUGCCUCUAAGGAUGUUAAAAAAAAAAAGAGGGAGCUCUUUGAUGCUCAUCAGAAGGAGGAGGCUUAUUGGAAAGUUAAAUCCAGGAAUCAAUGGCUACGCGAGGGUGAUAAGAACACCAAAUUUUUCCAUGCCCAAACGCUAAAAAGGGGCCCGUUUAAUACGAUCCGAGGAAUAGAGGACGCCCGGGGGAUCUGGCAGGAAAGUUCUGAAGGUAUUGGUAAUACGGCUAUUGAUUAUUUUACUGAUCUUUUUCAAUCCUGUCAGACUAAUCUGGUGGCGGAAGUUUAGAGUUGCAUGGAGGGUCGGCUCUCCCUAGAGGACAACCGAGGUUUAACUACUAUGGUCUCCGAAUGUGAAAUUUUGGAGGCUGCUUUUCAAAUCCCCCCUACUAGAUCUCCGGGUCCUGAUGGCUUCUCUAGCUGUUUUUACCAAGAUCACUGGGACACGGUCGGGUCGAACGUAGUCAAGAUUGUUAAAGCAUUCUGGCACUCGGGUUCCCUGCUGCGUAAACUCAACCACACCAAUGUUGUGCUUAUUCCGAAGGUGAAGUGCCCAAAAAAUAUGACGCAAUAUAGGCCUAUUGCUUUAUGUAACGUCAUCUACAAGAUUAUUGCCAAGGUUCUCACUAAUAGGCUUAAGAAGGUGAUGCCGAAAAUGAUUGGGGAGAACCAAUCUGCCUUCGUGGCUGGGAAGCAAAUCCAAGAUAAUAUCCUUGUGGUGCACGAAGUCCUCCACUCCUUAAUCCACCAGAAUAAAGGAGACCAACCUGGGAUGGCUAUCAAGCUCGAUAUGGCCAAGGCAUACGAUCGAGUUGAAUGGGAUUUCCUAUUGGGAAUGAUGGCUAGCCUGGGUUUCGCGCCUAUCUUCUGCAGCUGGAUUAAGGAAUGCAUUUCUACCGUAUCAUUUAGUGUCCUCAUAAACGGGUCCCCAACGGGUUUCUUCCGGCCGAAUCGGGGGCUCAUGCAAGGCGAUCCCCUAUCCCCUUUCCUGUUCCUCCUCUGUACUGAAUGAUUCUUUAUGUUAAUCAGGAGAAGCCUGGAAAGGGGUGCCCUCCACGAUUUCAAGGUAUUUCCUACUGGUGUACCGAUAACGCAUCUCCUGUUCGCGGAUGACUCUGUGGUUUUUGGAAAUGCUUCUGUGGAGGAGGCGGAGAGCAUAGUGGCAGUUCUACAGAUGUAUGCUCGGGGCUCCGGUCAGAUGAUUAAUAUGGCCAAAAGUUCGGUCUUCUUCGGUGCUAAUACCCCGAAAUGUCAGAAAGCCAAAAUUGUGAACUCCCUGGGGAUACAGAGUAAUCAGGGAUUUGGGAAAUAUCUUGGCCUGCAGGCCGAUUUCGGACACUAAAAAAAAGCUGUCUUUGCGGAAAUCCGGGAUAAGAUUGAAGCUCGCUUGUCUGGUUGGGCUGAACAGUACCUGUCCCAGGCAGGAAAUGAGAUCCUUGUGAAAUCAGUUGCUAUGGCCUUGCCUAACUAUGCUAUGAGUUGUUUUAGACUCCCCAUUGGAGUGUGUCGGGAUGUUGAAAGAGCUAUUCGAAAUUACUGGUGGCGUGGUAAUGAACAACGUAAGGGCAUUCACUGGGUCUCCUGGGAUCGUCUCAUGAAACAGAAAAAGGCUGGUGGAAUGGGAUUCAAGGACAUCCAAUGUGUCAACCUUGCUCUUCUUGCCAAGAUCGGAUGGCGAAUCACCCAAAACCCUUUGUCCCUCCUAGCUUCGGUUUUGAGUGAUAAAUACUUCCCGGGGAAAAGUUUUGGAGAAGCUCUGAAAGGGAAGAAUACCUCAUGGGGCUGGAAAGGUCUCUUUGAAGCCCGGAAAGUGCUUAAACUUGGUCUUAGAUGGCGGGUGGGAAAUGGGAAAAGCAUAAACAUAAGGAAGGAUCCGUGGCUCCCUAAACCCUCAACCUAUAAAGUCAUCCCGAAACCAAUUCUGGAAGGUACAAUGGUAUGUGACCUGAUCGACCCUGUUACUAACUCUUGGCGAACGGACUUGAUCGAGCUCGGGUUUCAGCGGGAAGAUGUAUUACCGAUCUUAAGCAUUCCACUCAGCCACCCUGGCAUAGAUGAUAGACUGGUGUGGCACUACACUACCAAUGGGAUUUUUUCAGUUAAAACUGGGUACAAUUUGGCUUUAAAACUGAUGGAAGAAGGUUCUUUGGGAAGGAAAGGGCGCGGUGGCCCUAGUGAAAGUAACAAUUUAAAUCUGGUAUGGAAUAAUAUCUGGAGUCUGCAGGUUCCAAAUAAGAUCAAAUGCUUCAUUUGGCGAUGCUGCAACAAUGCUCUGGCGGUUAGAAGGAAUCUUAAAAGACGUCAUAUGAGAAUUGACAAUGUUUGUGGUGUUUGUAACGCCAUUAAUGAAAUUGAAAACCAUCUGUUUUUCCGUUGUGAAUUUAGCCAUGUCUUCUGGUUUUGUUCUCAUCUGCACCUAAAUUCUCACGCCCUGGAGGGAAGUGACUUUCUCGAAAGCUGGAGCAACUUUUGUGCUCAAGUGAAGGAGAGGAAUAAUGCGGAUGACAUCCGUCAAGAAUUUGCCUUUGGCAUGUGGAGAUUGUGGAAGAACGGAAACGAUGUGAUAUUCAAAGGGAUAUAUCGCCAGCCUUUGGAUAUCUUGGAGGCCUGGAGGAAGAGUACUAGCGAGUACAAAGACUGUUUGGCGCGGGAAGAAGAUGACAACAGACCGAGGCUGCCGAUGACAAUUAAGGCUUCAGAAUCUUUUUGUACUAAAUGGCAGAAACCUAGGUUCGGAACUAUUAAGAUUAAUUCCGACGCGACCUGGUGUAAAGAUACGAUGCAUAUGGGUUUGGGUUGGCUGGGUCGGGAUUUUGCGGGACUGCUCCAAGCGGCUGGGGGGAUAGGCUCUGGUUUCUGUCAUAGUGCCGCGGCUGCUGAAGCUUCUGCCAUCAGGUAUGCUCUAUUGGCCUGUAUCGAACAUGGGUUUAAUGACAUCAUCAUUGAAUCUGAUGCAAGGUUGGUUAUUAAAAUGCUGAAGAAGGAAGUGUUUGUAGAUUUUAGUAUUGAGUGUAUUCUUGGCGACAUUGAGGUUCUAGUGCAUAAGCUGAGGACUGUCUCUUUUGCUUUUGUGCCUAGAGAGGGCAAUCGUGCUUCUCACUCGGUGGCUAAGUAUGCCUUUAAGGAGGGCCGCUCUUUUUCUUGGGAUUGUAUUGGCCCUUAAUUCCUGUUUAAUUUUCUUGCUAAGGAUGUAAACCUUUAUAUUCGUCUUUAAUAUAUUUCUAUCUUUGGUUAAAAAAAAAAGAAAGUGGGGAGUGUGGCCAGUGGCCACGUGAAGAAAAGAAAAAGAAAAGAAAGUGGUGGCGGCAACCACAUGUGAAAUGGCAUGUACCAUCAUGUUAGCAGAUCCAAUAAAGGUGGCCUUUUAUAUCACGAUAAUAUAAAAGUUGCGCGUCUUUACAUUCUUACGUGAAUUCGAAUAUUGUUAGUGUCGAGAAGUAAUGUACUUGAAUGGAUGACCAUAGGUUGCAUUUUGCAGUUAGUAUUUGGCAUUAUAUGUCGUUUUGUAUCGGAAAAUUAUAGAGCUAUACAGUUGAACUGAAUCACAAUUGAAUUGAAGGAGAAUGAGUGUGCGUUUUACGUUGAUUAGUUUGCUCACGAUCUGCAUUCUACACUUGUAGAGAUGGCAAAUGAUCAUUCUGAAAUCUAUUGUCUCUUUACUUCAGUUGCUAAUUUGGCAAAAUGAUGCACCAAGCCAAAGUUUGAAACCAAACCGAACUGAAUCCUUUUGGUUAUCUAAUUUACACUGAAAUGAUGCACCAAACCAAAAUGUGUAUUCUAAUUGGUGAGGUAACAUAAUAUGUCCUUAUUUCCAAAAAAAACAUAAUAUGUCCUUGUCCAUGAUAGCAUUCAACAUUUAAAUUCUCUAACAAGUUUGUGACAACCCGUUCCGACUUUAUCGAAUUUUAAUUUUGAAAGUGAGAAUUGACUUAAAUGCCCCUAUUGGGUUCAGCUGACACAUGGACGUUUUGAGCCAGUGUUUAAUUUGUCUCAUUUCGUAGUAUAUCGAGAUGGUACUCAUCGUUGCUAACGCGUGAGUGCAAACUAGACCCAAAUUGAAUUUGUAACAAAAAAACUACACUCGUUUAAUAAACGGGUAAAUAUGUACACAAAAUUGUGUGAAAUUCACAGAGUGUGCAUGUGAGAAACUGUAACCAUUAUCCUUUCCGAAUCCUUCUCUGAGUAUUGCGUGAAAUAUCAAUUCAUCAUAAUCGUUCACUACACAUAGAAAUGAUUUUAAAUAUUUUAUUCUUUUUCCAGCUUGCACGCACAAAUAACGGGCCCCAUUCUUUUUUCGUCACUUUGUAUCAGAUGCUUUAUCCAUCUAAAAUGGAUCAUUAUUGAUUGAAUGAUAACAACCACCACUCUUACAUCACACAGUACAUAAAGACUUCAUUAUUUAUUUAAAGUAUCUGUUAGCUUUUAAAAAUUUGUCAUGUUGUGAGAUUUUUCUUCUGUUAAAUCACUUUUUGUUUGGUGUGUGAGAAAGUGAAAAGUUUGUCUAUUUGUAUGAUUUAAAUGUAUGAGAUAUGUGUGUGUUUACUAUGCUUUUAGCUGAGAUUAAUAUCAUAUGUAAUGUCGAAUUGGAUGUUGUGUAUAACUAAAUUAGUGUAAAAUAUUACUUUAUGAGUGAGUCACGAGAGCAAUCCCAUGCGAGAAUGUGUGCGUUGAAUGUAUUGAGAUAUGCAAAGAGUACAAUUAUAGCAGUUGCAUUGUUAAUUUGAUGCAUUUACUUAUGUAGUUUUAAUUUUGGCUAAAAAACAUUAUUUUAAAGGAUAAAAAAAUUAGCAAAGAUGUGUUAAAAGUAAAAAUAAAUGUGUUGAUAGUAUCAUUAUUUUAAAAUUGUUCAUUCAAUUUGCGUGACUAACGAUCUCAAAAUGAAUAAAUUUUACCUUACUUUUGGGCUUGCCUCUUUACUUUACUUUUGGAAAUAACUGCACACUUACUUUAGUAUGCUUUUAACAAACUAUACUUUAAUUUGUUUUAUCUUUAAUGAAAUUAGUUGUUUGACCGAAAACAAAAGAAUAAAUUUUUUUUUGAGAUAUUUUUACACAAUGAUAAAAAAAAUACGCAACUCUAAUUGCGAUGCUUCUACCGUGAUAUGAUGUAAAUUGUAAUGCCACGAGAGAGUGAGAAUGGCUCGAGCCAUGUAUACAAAUGACAAAACUGAUCUUGUUGGGUUUAACGGAAUUUUACAUGGACGUUUGAGCCAAUGCGUAAUUCGUCUCAUUUUUUAAUAUAUUUGAGUACUCAUCGUUAAGAAUGUAAAUAUAAACUAAAUCCAAAUCAGACUCGUAACAAUUUAAAAUUUGAUAACAAGCAAUAAAUUUGUAUACUUGUGUAAAUUCACACGUGUGCACAAAAGAUAGUGUCGGCAGACACUGUUAGAGAAAUUACCUAUUAGCUUUUGAAAAUUUGUCCCGUAACGGAAAGUCACCCCACCAAUCAAUUGCACUCUGCUUUUUCUCUCUCUCUCUCUCUCUCUCUCUCUCUCCUCUCAGUGUUGUCCUCCUACCCUGUAACAUCUCUCUCACUCACUCAAACCUCUCUUUCUCCCUCUAAAACUCUCCCGUCCUCUCUUCUCUCUGUAACGCAGCAAAAGUCACCAAACCUCGACGAAUCAACGCUCAAACCACCACCACGUCCACCCUCUUGACCUCGCGAGCUCGAACCCGAGCUCCGUUUCGUAGGAAACCGAAACUAGAGGCUCUAGCUCGAAGCUCCGACGAGAAAGAAACUUCCCGACGAAGUUCCCGACACUUUUCCGACCGCUCCACACCGUAUUGGAAGAGUUGGAAGCCACCACAGAACUCCCUAACGUCACUGGGUCAAGUUUGAGGCAAUCCCCAACUCGAAAACACCCGGCUUCGAAGCUUUGGGUUUUUUUGCGGAGACUUUCAGGCCAAUUUCAGUACACGUCUGCUUUUUGGAGUUCCAAGAGGUAUAAACUUGUUCCUUGUGCUUCAUUUCCAUAUAAAGAACGUAAAAAAUGGUUGAGAAAUGAGCAAGUUAUGACCUUUUGAAAUUGUCCUCAGUUUCCGUCGAUUUCAGGGACCUUCCGGCGUGUUUUUGGCUAAAUCACGGCGAGUUAGCCGUACCAAUUUGUUCAUCUCAUUCCGAGGUAUCCUUUCCAUUCUGAAUCACUCAAUUUAGUUGAGAUAUGUGGAAGUUAUGAUGAUUUAAAAAUUUCCCAGAAAACCGGUGAUAAACUGCAUAAUCCGGCGACCCGCGACCGGAACCUGGUAAAAAGUAGAUGAAAAAACGCAGUUCUAAUACAACUAAAACACGUAAUUGCAUCAUUCCUAAAACACAGUGAAAUUUGUGAGAGUGGCCUAAAUAGAAAGAAAAAGAUAUGAAAUAAAGUUCCUUUGAAAUCGUAACCAGUAAAAGACCCGAUCAUGUUCAGGAAAGGUAACAUCACAUAUCCAACUUAAACUAGGGAAUGCCAUACUUAAUGUGAUCAUAACUAAUAACUUUUAUUUUUUACAAACUGCUAAUAACUUAUAGAGUAAAUUUAUGCAAUUGUCCCUCAAUUUUAGUCAAAUUGGAGCAAUAGUCUUUCAAUUAAAAAACCAUUACCAUUGGUCCCUUAACUCAUCAAAAUGUGUAGCUAUGAUCAUUUUCUUUAACUUCAUCAAAAUUUGGUCAAAAUGAGUUAUGUUGGAAAGACCAUUGCUACAAUUGGUUUAAAGUUGAGGGACCAUUUCUCCAAUUGGAUUAAAGUUGAGGGACUAUUUCUCGAGUUGGAUUAAAGUUGAGAGACUAUUAAUAAUGUAUUUUUAUGUAGUACGGGUACAUUCUGCACAGCACACCCUCACUAUUGGUUUAAGGGCUGGUUUGGUAUUGCUGUGCUUUGAAAAAAAACUGUUGUGAGAAUAAGCGGCUGUGCUGUGAGAAUAAGCGGUUGUGAAAUAAAUCAGCAGAGCGUUUGGUAAACUUUAUUGUAAAAGUGCUUUUGGAAAAAAAAAAGCAGUCUGAUAGUGAAUGUAGUAAUUCCUAAUCUUAUAGUUUGUAAAAUUAUCUUUCCCACCUAGAAUGUGAAUAAGGGGUACAUUUUGCACAGUGCACCCUCACUACUAGUUUAAAUGACAUAAGCUUUGGUUUUAUUUAUUCAAAUUUGUGCUCAUCAUCUAUACUUUAUGACUUUCGUCAAUUUCCAGAUGUCGGCUAGUACGCCUUGACUUCGGUUGGGAUGUGUCAAAGUUUGUGAAGCACCACUUCCAGUUCCAAGCAUAUGAUUUGGUGUUGAACAAGGCAUAAAUUUCAUAAUUUCACUUUUACUCUGGACAGUUGUAUUGUGUUGACUUACAAUACAGGUACUACAUAUUUCUCGAAAACUAUUUCAUUCCAAUAUUUGUUGUUUUAGACGUUUGUUUUUACUCUACCUAUCCAAGAAAUAAAAGUGUUGAUUUUACAUUCUAGUACCCACCAAAUACUAUAUUUCAGCUGAGCUCCAAUACUAACAAACCUAAGGAAACCAUCACCUAUUAAAAGAUAAUCAACUAAAAGUGAGCUAAUCCCCCUUAUAAUCAAAAUUUUAUUAUUUUCUAAACCGAAAAAAAAAAUAUGGAUUGGGGUCGCUAGUAGAAAUGAACAAAUAAAAAUAUCAUGUGACAGUGAGUUUGGGGACCAUACAAAUGCAUGUGUUAUGUUUAUCAUGCUAUAUAGAAAGUUUGAAAUCGCUUCUGUGAUGCAAUGGUGAAAUGUAAACUAUUCAAAAUUUGCAUACUGUAAAAUAAUAAUGAUAAAAUAAAUAUACACAUGCACUAAAAUGAUCAAUUGAAAAUAUGAUUGUACCCUCAAAGUUCAAUUUUCUUUAACUAAAACCCACCAUAGUAUAUUCUCCUAGCAAAAACUUAAUAACAAGGCUCCAACUCAGAAAUUUUCUUAAUUAAGUUUGACUUUUGCACAAUUUUGUAUUUUUGGAUGCCUAAAAUACACCUAAUAACUUAUAUCGGAUUGAACACAAUAUUUAAUGUCAUGAUUUCAUUGCAUAUUAGUAAUAUAAUGAUACGAUACUAUGGAUUUCAUCCGUUUUUUUAAUUUCCUUUUAAACUCCUUAGUUGCUUUUGGUAUAUACAUGAAAUUAGGAUUGCUUUUGGUUUAGUUUUUCCCUUUUCAAAAUGUGUGAGGAUUACGACACAUAUAUAAUAACAAUAACGUGUUGAACUCAAUAAAAAAAAGGCGCAAUUACAAAUGUAUCUAAACAAAUAUACCAAAUUGCCUUUGAUGUUCUAUUUUUUUUGUAGAAAUUUCAUCGUAAGUCCGAAUUCAGUUUCACUUGCGCCCACUCGUUCGUAUUGAUGAGCACUACGAGGAUAUGCUAAAAGGAUGGGUCUAUUCACUUUGUGUGUGUGUUUAGGUCAACCCCAAAUAAAAAAACUAAUUAGGCAUUAUGCCUAAUUAGAAAAUAAUAAAACAUAUGGACCAACUUGCCCAAUUGUUUAACAAGUCCAACGAAACGAGUAAACCAUCAUUAUAACAGUCUGCAACCUAUGAUACUGACACUUGAAAACAAGUUGUGAAGUCUUGAGGGUGCAAAAUAACCAUUUUGCCCCUCCUCGUGAAACAUGUGCAACUCUUUAGUAAGGACGAGUACUAUCUCAAAACGGCAGAACAUGGACAAAAGUGAAAAGAACUCAAAUGUCAAUGUAGAAUUUUCACUUAGCCCUUCAGGGGCAUUUUCGUAAUUUUACAACGUUAGAGAAUAAAAUACAAAGGACAAGACGUAACAAUCUACCUCUUUAAAAAAAUUGUCCCUAAAAUUUCAUAUCAUACAUACAAGAUCUUGCUCGAAGAACAAGUAUGCAUACAGAGCUCUCAUGUGCCUUUUUUGUCUUUGCGUCGCUACCUGACGCUUAUCUGGUAUUAUGGUAUUGUCCAUCUCCAUACCACCUGUAUCCUAGUCCUAAGGCAUGACUUCUUGGUACUACGUAGUAUUUCUAGUAGAAGGAACCAUACCGUCUGGAUACUGGUUGACAACUCAUAGAUACUAAACUUGGUAGUGGAUAAUGCAACACCAUCAUGGGUGGGCUGUUGAUGAGGGUUGCUUCCUAUGAGUAAGUUUGGUUGAUAGGGAAAUGCUCUUAUGAGUUGAUUUCGUUGUUUUGGGGCACACUUGGUAGCCUAGUAUUCUUGCUGACCGCAUAUGUGACAACCUAUACUUCCUUCUUAUACCUGUCGUAAUGAGGGGUGUUGCAUCGGAAGCAAUUCUUGCACCGGUGUUACUGGAACUACCAUAAGGGUGGAAUUUAGAAGCCUCCCAAUUUACUUCCAAAAUCGGGUUUACUGGAAUUCGAUUCUCCACUAGAAGAUCUGAAAUUAUAGCUGUUUCUUUUGAAAAAUUGGUUCUGUGGGGUUUAAAAAGAACACGAGUGUUCUUUUGUCAAGUGCUACCACUCUCAUCAUUAACAUUGUCACUCUAGACAUUAUCAGAAUUAUCAACGCAAAGUAAAGCCUUGUAGAAUUCCUUGGAUGUCGUACAUGGUGUAGAUGCUGCAAAGAAACAAAAUUGCUUGCGGAUUUGUUAUUUGAACUGGUGGAGCCUUUUUGAAUGGUUGGUAGCGAUUGUUGGACAAUAGCAGGACAAUUCGCUGAACUUCUGAUGGUACUUAGCUACUGAUAUUUUGCCUUGUGUAGGUCCAUGAACUCGUCUUUUUUUUCUUUCCCGGGUCUUAUACUCCGAAUACUCCGCCUGUGUAAGUUUAUCUUACAUUGUCGGUCCCAAGCCCAGAUAAAGGAGGAAGGGGAGGGCGCUAGGUAGUUGAUAACUGGUACUUCUAUUUUACGUCGAACCUUACGAUAAUGAAUCCUGAACGAAAUUGCUCUAAAGCUAGGUCGUUACUCGUAAGUGGUGCGUUGUGUCCUGAGCACAAUGAUAAGUGAGCAAGGGUCGCUGUAUCUCCACCGGCGCUUGGAUGCAAUGUUAAAUGAGCAAUGGGGCCAUAAAAACUUCUUUUUGAACGACUUCACUCAAAGUUGUUUGGAAGCAUCUGCUCCUAUCAACUUUGACCUUAUUAGACGGGGGGUGGUGAAAAAGCUAGGACAAGAGGGUAGAGAGUUCAAGAGAGUUGCGUUUAGGAACGUGGAACAUAAGAACCUUAAUGGGAAAAUCUAUGGAAAUAGUGAAAGUUAUGGUGAGGAGAAGGAUAAGUAUUAUGUGCCUACAUAAAACUAAGUGGGUUGGUCUUAAGGCAAAUGAUCUUGAAAACUCAGGUUUUAAACUUUGGUAUUCGGGCACAAAUAGAACGAGAAAUUAUGUUGGCAUUAUCGUGGACAAGAGGGUAGGAAAUAGAAUUAUGGCAAUCAAGAUUGUAAUAGGACAAGAACUCAUCAAUGUGAUUAGUGUGUACGCACCUCAAGUAAGGUUGGAACGAGUUUGAAGGAGAAAUUUUGAGAAGAUCUUAGAGACUUGGUGCAAUGAAUCGCUUAGACGAAGAAGGUAUUUAUAUGAGGAGAUUUAAAUGGACACGUGGGCAAGGGGAUAGGCCAUGGUUUUGGGGAGAGAAAUGAGGAUGGGGAAGUCAUAUUGGAUUUUUCAGUGGCAUACAAUAUCUUCUUAGCCAACACCUUCUUUAAGAAGGGAGAAGAACAUGUGGUAACCUACAAGAAUGGGUCAUCAAAAACACAAAUAGAUUUUAUUCUAACGAGGAGGAAAGGGGAUCGUAUAACUUGCAAGGAUUGCAAAGUUAUACUGGGAGAGUGCUUGGCUAAUCAACAUCGCUUGUUGGUGAUGGAUGUACAUAUCAAAAGAGAGUAAAAAGAACAAGACCUUGAAGUGUCCAAAGACUAGAAGGUGGAAUCUAAAAAGAGAAAGACAAGUCAUUUUCAAAGAGAAAGUAAUUACCCAAUGCGUGUGGGAUAGAGAGGGGGAAUAUGCGCCCACAUGGAUAUUAAAAAUUAAAAAUCAAAUCCCAAACUUCGCCCUCCCUCUCCGACACCCCUCCCCUAAUGCCUCCCACUUUUCUCUCUUUACUUCCCCGACCCACCCAAAAUUGCAUGUCCUUAGUUCACCCAAAUUGCAUAUCCCACAAACCAGAAGGUCCAAAACUUCAAACAUCAAGAAGUCGAAUUUCAUAUGCUAAUAUAGAAUAAAAUAAAGGAAACUCUUACCUUCCAAUUAUCAGAGACAGAGGACUGCCACUACUAUUAUUGUGAGACAAAGGAGUGAAAUCAAUCAAUGAUUCAGUGGAACUUCUUCAGGGCAAAUUUUGUAAUUUUUAUUUUUUGGGAAACAAAGAGUACAAGGAGUGAAAGGAAAAAGAACCUCAAGGGAGGAAGCAUCAAUGAAGCAUAGAUGGAUUAAAAAAAUGGUUUUUCCUCCAAAACCCAGAUGGAAAUUCAAUAUUCAGAAGAGAAAAUCACCAAAAGGGAGAAAAAAUGAGGGUUUUUCUUAAUCCCCAAAUGGUGAAAAAGUUUUUUCUAUAUUUUCUUAGUACCAAGAAUUUCUAACCCGACCGGCGAGCGAGCAGUGUAAGCCCCCCGAACCGUACUGCAUUGAAUUGGAGUGGCUGUGACUCAGCGUCAUGGAUCAGACCCACGUCCACCUCCAGAGUUGUAAAACGAGGAGGCCGAGAGCGAGCAGGAGCGCGAAAUCAUCUGACCGUUGAUCAACGAAGAAGAAGAAGAGGUUGAGGUAGGGCUGGGUUCGGUUCGAAACGGUUCGGUUUUUUGCCAAAACCGAAACCAAACCAAAAUUUUGGUUCGGUUCAAUUUUUUUUCGAUUUUUUUUCGGUUCAGUUUUUUUCGGUUCGGUUUCGGCCCAGUUCGGUUUUAUUUUUUAUUUUUUAUUUUUGAAAUUGAAUAAAAAUUAAAAUCUAAAAUUUUAACAUCUCUAACACAAUCAUAACAUAAGCAUUCCUACACAAUGAAAAUAAAUAUUUAAAGUUCAACUAGAAUCAUCAAUUAAAUCUUCCAAAGUCCAAACUUAAAAAAAUAUCAAAGUUUAAGUCUUCAAAAAGUCCAAAUUUAAAAUAAACAUUACACUAAGUCUUCCACACCUAAAAUAAACAUAACAAAGUCCAAAUUUUACAGAAAUAUUCCACUUAACUCAAAUUAUAAACUCAAAUAAACCUUCAAGAUUUCAUGUCUUCUACGCACUUCUUCUCUUCAACUCCUCAAGCUCAACGCUUAAGGCCUAGGAGGCAACAUAGCAAAUUAACAAUGCAACCGUUAUGAGCUCAUCAACCUUCCUACUGACCUAACCUAAGUUUGACAUGCGCGGGCUUCUUUGGGCAUGGAAUUUCACUUUCAAGAUAUAUUGGCACUUAUGCACCGUAUUUUUAGGCUAAAUAUAUAUAACUUUUGAAAAGAAAAAUCCAAGUCUGAGAUAGAAGGCCAUUUUGUAAGAAGUAUUCACCCCAUUUUUAGCCGGCUAUUUGGCUCAGGGUGCAGUAGACAUAAACAAAAUGAAGCCACUUUCGGCCAUUUCAGCAGCAAUUGAGGAGGAAGAACUUGAUGUCUAAGACUAGACAUUGUCCUGCUUUUUUCUUCUCUUGAGCUAAAUGGACAAAAUAACUGGUCACAAGCACAACCACGUUAGUCCACAAAAUCAAAAACAAAAACAAAACAACUCCGAACAAAAUCAUCUUUUACCAUUUAUAUAAAACGAUAAUUGAAUGCAUCUGAAGAUCUUAUUUAACUUAUACUACAGAUAAACAAUUGAAAGCUUUUAUUUAUGAACCUCAAAAAGAACCCCUAAUCGGUAAAUGUCUGAAGCACAUGAACUUGAUCCACCAGAAACCUCUUCGGGACUAUCAUACCAUAGCAGAUUAACAAUGCAACCAUUAUCUUGAUCUCCUAAUCGGAAUUCUAAUGGAUCCAACAGAACUUAGAAUUUCAUGCCUAAUUGAAGCCACUUCACUUCUCAGCUCAUCAACUUCCAAGUGCAACCUCUCAUUUUGAUUUCGCAAAUGUUGUAUCUACUCCUUUGCAACUGCAAGAUAGUAAAUAAACAACAAAAUUUGAGCUGUAGUCAUAGUUAUGGGAAAAGAAAUACCAGAUUCAUAAUACUUGAACUUUUCUUCUUGUUCUCUACCAAUUUCAUCCAACUCCGACCAUUUCUUCAUCUGCCAUGGCAUAACAACCACCGCAGAUUAGGAAAAAAGGGCGACAGAACAUAUUUAGAUUAAAUAGAAAUAUCCAAAUCAAAGUAUAGGCAGCACGUAGGUCCUUACAAAUACGUUUACAAUAUACCCAAAAUUCAGAAGUACAAAAGGACAAUUACUUUCUAUUUCCCUAACCUCAAAUUUCUCCCCUGAGCAAAUUUAACAUACAAUUAACUGAUUAAGCAAAAAAAUGAAUGAGCAAAAAAAAUUGUAAAGAAGUGGGAAAGAACACAGAACACCUUGAUUUUUGUGUACUUUUCGUAGAGUUUGGAGUAGAGAGCUUCCGUCUGCGAACGAACAAUAUUCCAGAAAAAAUCAAAAUAUAGAAAAACAGUAAGAAGUAAUUUAGGAAUGUAAAAAUGGAGGGGAAUCCUAUAGUGGACUGGUAGUACACUCAAACAUGACAAACAAAAAAUUAAACACAGAGAAAUGAGAGUAUGAGACUAACCUUUUGCAGUUGAGACUCGAAACGGCAAGAAGAAGCUCACGGCGAGAUGAAGGACUGACGGCGAGGGGCAGGUGUGAGAGAUUGAGAGUGAGAUGGGUCGCGCUGUCGCGGGUCGCCUGGGAUUCAAGACCGAGAGAGACAAAGAGUUUAAGAGAGACAGAGAGUGAUUGAAGUUGAAGACCGAGAGAGAGAGAGGAUGAGGCUAACCUUUUGCUGUCGAGACUCGAAAUGGCGAGAUGAGAGACUGACGACGAGGGCGCGGUGUGAGAGAUUGAGAGUGAGAAGGGUCGCGCUGUCGCGGGUUGCCUGAGAGAUUGAGAGAGAUAGAGCGAUUGAAGUUGAAGACUAAGCGAGAGAGGAAUCUCAGGCGGCGCGAGAGGGUUACUGGGUUAGGGUUCAUGGAGGGAGAGGCAGGGAACGAGAGAGAGAAGAAAUGAAAAAUAGAAAAGUGUGGCUGCUACUACUAGUGGCUAGGGUUAAAGGAUUUUGUUGAUUUCUCAACAAAAUUAAAAAAAAAAACUCUUAAAUCCUGAAGGCAGGAGGGUUCGAACCCAUUGCCUCCAGCGUGAAAAGUUUCACUUAAACCAACUUGGCAACAUAUUCUGUUUUGUUAUGAUUGUAUGACUAAACUAUUUAUAAUAUUGAAAAUAUAAUUAAAUAUAUAUAUCGGUUCGGUUCGGUUUUCGAACCUCAAAAAUCGAAACCGAACUGUCCAAAUUCGGUUCAGUUCGGUUUUUUUUCGGUUCGGUUUUUUUCGGCCUCGGUUCGGUUUGGUUGUCGGUUUUUUUCGGUUUUCGGUUUUUUGAACUCACCCCUAGGUUGAGGAAUAGGUCCACUAGUCGGGCUUGGCGGGGACGGAGUUGAGGAGGAGGGAGCAUUGGGAGGCAGGGGUGGAACGCAGGCCAGGUGAGGAGGAGGAGGGGCUUGGAUUUGGGGGGUCUGAAUUUGGGCGAUGAUGGUGAGGAAGGCAACUGUGAGGAAGACAAUAGGGUUUGGGAUUUUUCUUUUUUAUAAAUUUUUAUUAGUAUUUUUAUAUUUCUAUUUUUUUGAAUAUUCAUGUCGGCCUAUAUUGACAUGUGGCGUCCAGUUAUUGUUCACAUAAGCACCACGUCAUCAGUUAAAAUAGAUUCUAAUGGAAAUCUAAACAUAUAUAUGAAAGUGUAACUUUAAGUACCAAAUUGGAACGAAAAAAACUUAAUGUAUGAAAUGUUGAAAACCAAGAAACUUCAAGAUAGUAAAUUGAGAUUAACCUUUAAACAUACAAUGAUCUUAUAUUCAAAUACUAUAAAAGCGUCAGCACACAAUUUUUUUUUUCCAUAAAAUAAAAAUACAACCUAGAUUUAAACAUGACAAAAAUAUCUGAUUAUUAAUGUUGUGUUGCUUGUUUUGUUUUAGGCAAGCACUGAGCACGAGACUUACAAAAGCUACCAACAAAGAGGAGCAUUACAGCCGUAGUCUUUGAUUUCAGAAGGCAAUGGAAAUUAUAAUUGCAAUUGCCUCAAAAAUUGGACAGUACUUGGUCAAACCGAUAGGAAGAGAGUUUGGCUAUUUGUUUAAUUACCAUUCCAACCUUGAAAGUCUUCAGGCCGAGACAAAAAAGCUUUUUGACAAGAAAAAUGGAGUGCAGGGAUUGGUAGAUGCUGCCAAAAGGAACGGUCUAAUCAUCAAACCUGAUGUUCAGAGUUGGCUACAGAAUGUGAACGACGACAUGGUCAAAAAAGUGUUGCAGUUUGAGGUUGAAAUUAACAAGCGAUGUGUGUGUCAAUGGAGCCUGAGUCGGAAAGCCUAUAAGAUUAAACAAGAAGUUCUUCAGCUCCAAAACGAAGGAACAUUUGAAAAUGUGGCCCAUCCUGCACCUCCACCAGCGAUAUGGUCAACAUUCGAAAAAGGAUUUAAGGAUUUUCAGUCCAGAAAGGCAAACAUGAAUGAGGUGAUAGAGGGUUUGAAGAGGGAAGAAGUACGUAUGAUCGGGAUUUGUGGAAUGGGGGGUGUGGGUAAAACCACAAUGAUAAAAGAAAUCAUGACAAGAUUGGCAAAACUGAACCUGUUUGAUAAAAUUGUAAUGGCAACUGUGUCUCAAAGUCCAAGUAUUAGGACUAUCCAGUCGGAAAUUGCAGACGAAAUAGGUUUGCAAUUUAAGGAGGAAUCUGAGUCCGGAAGAGCACGAAGGCUACAUGGGAGACUCAUGGGCAUAGAGAGGAUCCUGAUUGUAUUAGAUGAUGCAUGGACAGAGCUUGGUUUUGCGGCUAUAGGACUUCCUUACGGAGAUGCUCAUAAAGGGUGCAAAGUUUUGUUGACAUCACGAGAUUCGGACGUUUGCAACAGGAUGGGAAGUCAACAAAUUAUUGCAGUCCCGAUUUUAACAACAGAAGAAUCAGAGGAGCUGUUUCGAGAAAUGGUGGGUGAAUCCUUUAAUGAUCCUGAUUUACGUUCCACUGCAAAAGAUGUAUUGAAGGAAUGUGGAGGUUUACCUAUUGUAAUUGUAACUGUUGGAAAAGCCCUAGAAAAGAAAAACAAGCAUGAAUGGGAUGAUGCCCUUAAUCAGUUGCGAAAUUCUACCCCAGUGAACAUCCCUGGAGUGAAUGACAAAGUUUAUUCUAGCAUAAAAUGGAGUUAUGAUAGAUUGGAGAGUGAUGAAGCCAGGUCAUGUCUUUUACUUUGUUGUUUAUUUCCAGAAGAUUAUGAUAUUCCAAUUGAGUACUUGGUUCGAUAUGGGUGGGGUCGAGAAUAUUUUAGCAGCAGCUUUACUUUGGAAGAUGCAAGAAUAGAGUGCAUUCUUUGGUUGGCCAACUAAAAAGAAGGUUUUUGUUGCUGGAUAGUGGCAAGGGUAAGUAUACAAAAAAAGUUCAGUAUACGAAAAUGCAUGACAUAGUUCGCGAUGUUGCUAUAUCGAUUGCUUCAAGAGAUCCACAUGGAUUUCUGAUAAGAAGUAAUGCUGAAAAUAAUGGGUGGUCAAAUUUAGCUACGUAUGACCAUUACACUACAAUCUCACUUGUUGGCAAAUUGGAGAUUCCGGUUGGUUUGAAAUGCCCAAAACUUGAGCUUCUACAGACGAUGAAAGGACGUUUUUCAAAAGGUAGCAUGGACAUCAUUUGUGAUGCGAUGAAAGAACUGAAGGUUUUAGCUUUGGUGGGAAUGGAAAUGGAAGACCUAGGCUCAUCAAGAUCACUAGGAGUACUGAAGAACCUGCGGACCUUGUGCCUAGAUGGGUCUAAAUUUGAUGGCAUGUCUACUGAUGUUAUUGGGAGUUUGGAGAAUUUAGAAAUCCUCAGCUUUCGGGAUUGUCGUUCCAUGCGUGAGUUGCCGAGGGAAAUUGGACGACUUAAACAGUUAAGGUUGUUAGAUACGACAGAUUGCAGGAAUCUUGAGGUGAUUCCACGUGGUAUCUUCUCCAGCUUAUGUAGACUUGAAGAGUUGUAUAUGCUUAAUAGCUUUACGAAAUGGGAAAUUGGAAGAGAAAGAGAAGAAAAGGGGAUGGCAAGCAUUUCUGAGGUGAUGUCUCUGUCCGAUCAUUUGAAGGUUCUAUCCAUAAAUAUACCCAGUGUCAUCCACUUGUUUCCAAAAGACAUAGUCUUGAAAAGCCCGACAAUAAGAUUCGCUAUAUGCUUUGAUACAUGGGGAGGGCAUAUUUCGGAGAUGAGUACUUAUGCAUUCGAAAAUUGUUUGGAGAUUAGUGAAAGUGAUGCAAGGGAGUUGGAGAGUCAAGCAGUUAGACUUUUGUUGAAAAAAUCUAAAAAAUUGUAUUUGCACAAAGUUAAGAAUUUAUCUGUCCUCACUGAUUUAGACCAUGAGGUAUUUCAAGAUUUGAAUGAUUUACGUCUUGUGGAUUGUCCAAAUACCGAGUAUCUUGCAAAUGGGACAAGUGCGACCCAGCUUCCGGAUAGCUUUUUGACCAACCUAAGAUUCCUUGAAUUAGGAAGUUGUCGUGUCUUAAAAUAUGUCUUUUCACUAUCAAUAGCGAGAAACUUGGUACAACUCCAGGAAUUAAUAUUGGUGGAUGUAAUCAAAUGGAAGAAAUUGUGUCGAAGCAGGGGAGGGAACAUGAGGAGGAAGCCGAUAUGAUAUCUUUCCAUAAAUUAACCAAAUUGUAUCUCUGGGAUCUACAGAGUUUGGUUAAUUUCUUCCAAGCCAAGAAGCUAUACUCCAACCAAGAGGUAUGUCCCACUCUCCAACUCUAUGAUAUGAGGAGGCAGCCGAUAUGUGGAAAUUUGAAAUUGUUUAACUGAUAAUGAUUUUUCUUUUUCAGGAAACAACGGCAAGGGUUGAGCAUCAAUCUGCAGGCAUAUUUGAAAAAGCAAUAUUUCCAUCAAAGUGCAUUUCAUGGUUUCCAAGUUUAGAAGAGGUACAAUUGAAGCAUAUGAAGUUUGAAGGCGUGCUAUUUGAUCUGAAAAUCCAUAUGGUUAUGGAUGGGCAGACAACUCCAAUAUUUCCUCAGUUAAGUAAGUUGGAUAUAUCCGGUGGUUCAUUUACACACUUGUGGAAAAACAUUCCGUUUGGAUUUCAAGGCUUCCGAAAUUUGAGAAAUUUGAAAGUAGGUGGAUGUCGUGGUCUAAAAUAUGUGUUCUCGCAUUUAAUUGCCCGAGAACUUUUGAAUCUUGAAGAGGUAAAGAUAUCUGGAUGUCCGGACAUGGAAACUAUAGUAAGAAUCACAGAGGAAAAUGAAGAAGAGGCGACAAAAUACAUGAUUUUGUUUCCGAAACUGAACACAUUUGAACUAGAAGACCUGCCUCGUCUCACAAGUCUUUGUCCAGAGGGAUUUACAUUUCUAUGGUCAUCCGCAAAAAAUAUGCACGUGAAAGAAUGUGAAAAUUUGAAGACAUUGGGUGCUGUAAUUCCACAAAGAAAGAAGUUAGAGAAUAAGUCUGAGAAGGAUUCAAGAGCAAACGCACACCGCUCCAUUGAAAUAUUGCCACGUCCAUUUAAUUUGGAGGUAAGCUUUUAAAUCAGGUUCAAUUAACCUCUACAAUUACAACUUUUAAUUAGUAUUGUAUCAUCUUGUUGAUCGUGUUUAAUUUUCUAGGUUACACCAACUAAUCUUGAGGACUCAAAUGAUGAUGAUAAUCUCGAAAAUCUUCUUGUCCACGACUGUGCAUCAUUGGAAGUGAUUUUCCAACUCAAGGGACCAAAGCAUGAAGAAAGUAGUCACUCCUUUGAAGCAUUCAAUAAAUUGAGGUCCUUAUGGUUAUAUAAGUUGCCAAGUUUAACGCGUCUUUGGGAGACGGGUAGUUCACAACAGAUGUUCACAGGUAGCAGCUUCGGAAACUUGAAAUCGUUGGAGGUCCAUCGUUGCAACCAGUUGAAAUACUUGUUUUCUUCGUCCAUUGUCAAACUUCUUGUGAGUGUAGAGGACAUAAGAGUUUAUGACUGUGAGCAGAUGGAAGAAAUCGUUGCCGCAGAAGAAGAAACAGCUGAAAUAAUUACAUUACCUAAAGUGAAGUCCAUCAAGCUUAUAAGGCUGCCAAAACUCAAGUAUUUUUGUGGUGAAGCUUAUACUUUGAACUUGCCGUCUUUGGAGUUAUUGAAGGUUAUUAGUGUGCAAGACUUAAGGCCAUUUGAUCCUAAGCAUGUUGACACGCAUAAUCCCCGAUUGCAAGUAAAAACCGCAUUUCGACAGGAAUGGACGGGGACCUCAAUGCCACUCUAAGGAAUAUUUAUGACACAAGGUAUGCUUUAAAUUAAUGUUUCUAAUUUACAGUCACUUUUGUGUCCACCUGGAAGAAUGCAUCAUCAAUAUACAACCACUGAACCAAGAAAGAUUUUCUCCUAAACAAUUACGUCAAUAUACAAACUUUUAGAGACUACAGUAAUGCUUCAUGCUGUUUGUUCCAACUCUUUCGAUCCAUGAUGCAUGCGUGGGAUUUCUAAUGUUUUUACGAAGGACUGAAGAAUAGCUAGGUUGAUAAUUUACAGUAUGUGAGCUAUAUAUGCUCAAUCUUAAAUUUCUAUUUAUUCAAUCGACAAAUACGUUCUGGUUUCGAGCUACAAGCAUAAUAUGGCAAACACCACCAAAUUUUUUACUACAAAUUUAGUUAAAGCAUAAUCAACAGUUCAUAUUUAGUUUGACAAAAGUGUUCUCAAAAUUUAGUCAAAUACCAUAUAUAUGUGCAUAUGUUCACACUAAAGUGUAUAGUAAUUUUAUUUUUUAAAACUCAAUUCUAUCUCAAGAAAACAUCUGUCUUUUAUUUCUAAAACAGGAAGGAUAACGAUGACGAAUUGUACAGUGAGGAUGAAAAUGAAGAUGACGAAUUCUCUGGGGAGGAUGAAGAUGACUAACAGAAUUGAUUGAUCAAACACAAAGGUUAGCAUGUUUCCAUCUCCAACUUCUUCUAGGUUUAGUAAAAACCGAUGAAAUUAUCUAUAAAGUACUCAAAAAAUUAUUCUACCAUGUUUUAUAGAAUAUAUACAUACAUGGAUAGUACUUUAAAAAUUGAACAAUAAGGAUCGUCGAACCACAUUCUGCUACCUAAUUCAUUUUUUCAAGGUACCCAAUGCAAGUCGAUCUAUAAUAUGCACUCUAAAAGUACUAACCUUGAGAAGCCAUUGAUAUGAACAAGAUUGAACCAUGAUCAGCAACGAACAAGCAAAGAUCUUCCUCUCUCUACACACCUUGUGCACUUCUAUCUGGGGUAGUGUUUUGUGCUAGAAUAAUGUGUAUAAAAGUGGGACCUAAGCCUCAUAUUUAUAGGUGAGAGUAUUAGGUUUCUUGCCCAUAAAGAAAACCCUAAUACAGAUCUUUAGCACCUCUAAAACCCAUGACCUAAUAGGAUAGAUAUUCCCAAAAAUUAUUGCUAUACUUCACCAUAAGUAAUCCGGAAUAAUCAAAUAUUACUUCCUUUCUUUUAUCCUUAAUCAAUUAGGACUCCUAAAUAGAUGUAAGCCCAAUAAAAGUCUUACACAGUUACACCCAAUAGCAGUUCAGAUGGAAGAAGCUUUUCGGAUUAGCAACUGCCUCAAGAAACCUUUAUCAGAUUCCACGAUAAUAUUGGAAUAACCUUUUUCUGUUACAACAAGCAUAACCGUUUUGAGAAACACAUAUACAAUAAACAUAACCGUAGUGCUAAGUGACUUGAAAAUUAAUUUGGUCCUUAAACCGCUAUAUUCUGAAACACAUAUACAAUAAGUAUUACCAUUUGAACUUAUUCCAAUUUCAGUGAUUUCUAAAAUUCUCCAAUGCAUGCAGGACAAGAGUUUACAGAACGUUGUGGAUUCAGCAAUUCGUUUACCAUAUCAUAUGUACAAGCCAAUAAAAGGUCAUUUGUUGCACCAGAAUUUCAUUCCAAAAAUACCAUUUAUGUUUGCUUAUUUGAUGUAUUAUAAAUUUCGAUUGCGAUUAUUACUGUUUGUUUCUAAAUUAGUGUUUGCUUAUUUGUUAUGGUAAUUUGGAAAAGUUGUCUCUAGCUACCAAUAUUUGCAUUUCAAUUUAUAAUGCUAAAAGUUCUGUAAUACCAUAGACGUGUAAGAUGAAUGACAUGCUGGUAGAAUGACACGUGUAAUAUUGAUCAUGUGUAAGCUAAAUAAUAUUAUGAUACACUAUAAUAAUAUGAUCAUUCACUAUAAGGCCUGAUAUUAAUUCAUAAAAUCUGGUUUUCCCCUAAACGUAACGGAAAUCAUAUUUAUCUAGGCAUGCUUAAUAUUUGAUAAAGAAAAAAACAUUUCUUAAAUAAAUGUCCACUCACACCUCCGGCUAGCUCUCCCUUGAGGAGCUUUGUCUACCAAAUAGGUAAGUUCAAACAACUUCAAGAGAGAAUUUCCUCCACAUUAAGUCUUAAACAUCUACUGGACAGCAGGCAAUUCAAAACCAAAGUAAGCUGCUGAAUACAACUACAAUAAACAAGGAAUCAGGCUAAGUUAUUGUCUUCAUCAUAACAUGAUUUUGGCCCCCAUUUUCUAAUUUCGUACCACAUUUUCACAUUCUUUCCAUGAAUUUUAUAGUUCCUAUGCAAAAGUGUUCAUUCAAUGCCUAUUCACAACAAUACAAGGUUCUACAGAGUUCAAUCCCACACCAUGUUAUAGACAUGCUUCAACUAUCAACCGGGAACGUAAUCGUUAGGGGUUUCAACAGAUUCACAGAUACAACAAUUACCAUAAGUCUCAUCUCCGACAUUCAUACAGAAAAUAGAAUAAAAUUCGAAAUCAAGAAUCAAUCCCAAAACUAAAAGUUGAAAAUUCGGAAAAUGAAAUUACAUUGGCGAACAGCCCACGAGAAGAGGAUCAUUUCUACCUCUUGGUCGAGCUCCAAUUGCGGCGAUAUUGGCCGGAAGUUGGCCGGAAAACCCUGGGUCACCGUUUCUUAAAUUUGAAGUUGAGGAAAGUCGCCUACGAAUCUAUAGAAACUAACUUGGGGAUUGGAUAAAGGACGGCAAGAGCAUUCUGGAUGUGUAGUUUGAGAGCCUUUGGUGA
Molecule: long non-coding RNA, 75728 nt
Filed under: Malus domestica (apple)
Lineage: Eukaryota; Viridiplantae; Streptophyta; Magnoliopsida; Rosales; Rosaceae
Source: RNAcentral